UGGAUUACGAGGCUGAUCAUCUCGGGCAAAAGGGUAAAUCAUGACUCAUAGAUAAAGAUAUACAACCUCUGUAGAGUGUUUACACUAGUAUACUAGCCAUCCUCACAUACACGAGCAACCUUGGGGACAUCUACAUUAAAGAUGAUGACGCUUUGAAUUAAUUAUGCUUACAUUGAUCAUGUGGUUACAGGAUUAAUUAUGCUACCUUGAUAUUGUUAUCAUAUAAUGAAUAUGCUAUAUACAUAUAAAAGCUUACUGUAGUUAGACCAGUGUCAGCUAUUUGAGCCGCAUGAACCCUGCUUAUACUUUUUUAGUAUGAUAUGUGCUCACUCUUGCUAUUUCAUAACACCUCUAGGUUAUUAGUAAUAGUUGAAUAGAAGAGUGACAGAUUCACGAAGGACGUUCUCAGAAAUCUAUCAAAAGUGCUUAGCAUACGCAGCCCCUAGUCAGUCAUCCCUGUGAAGAUUGAGCCUAAAGAUUAAUUACCGUUCCUCGAUACUCUAAUGUAAGUGUUAAUUAUAAGUAUGUUUCUGCUAUAUAAUAUUGUUUCUGAUACUGUUCCUUAUAUGUGUGGACUUUCUGGACAUAUAGCUAGCCUGGUUUUAUUCUUUAAAAUCUGGUGUGACAAAGGUUUAUAUAGCAUUUUGUCUCCCAUUGUCUUACAUUUAUGGGUUUAGUAAUUGUAACACUGCCAGCGCGAAUAGGUUAGUGGUUGUUGGAUACAUUUAUAGAUACAACUAAAUAUGUGUUAUUUUUAUGUUUAUCAAUGAAGUACUUCAUAUACAUGCCACUAUAGAAAGUUUAAUUACUGCCAGGACUUUCACUACCAGUUAUGAGAUAACCGACGAUGAUACUUGUCACCACUGGCUCAUAGCGUGAGGGUCCCUUCCGAGUGAUCUACCAGCGGCGAGAAAUGUUUCCACUGCCAUCUUUAAACAAAAUGCUAGUCUUUGCCACCGCAUCGUACACUGAACCGGCUUUGGAACAUUUUAGCACUGCCAGCUAAUCAUCUAAUGCGCAACGCAUAAAGAAAACAAUGGAGAUAAGAAGUUUAGCCAUUGGUUUCAAAAUGGAAGGACGCACCACCAUAUUAGAGCCAACAGGAAACAAUAUAGCAUCGUCUUGGAAACACCGCAUCAUCAGUUGUGCUGACAAUGAUCAGAAGUUUCACCACCAGUUUUCAUGGGGACACUAUGAAAGCAACAACGAUUAUGUCCUUUUUGACAUCAUCAUAGAGAAAUGCACUCUCACAGUUUUUGACUCGCAAAGGCGACCACAAGAGCAUAUCCAAUAAUUGUCACGUGAAACAUGUAAGACAAGGUAGCUAUGCUACUAGAAAUCUCCACUUCUAUGACAAAAACAUUAAUGACGAAUUCAAAACUAUCAUAGAAGAUCACUUUUUAUAAUGAAUAUUUAUGUUUUAUCAUAGAUCAAUGGUGAUAAUCUUGCAACCCUCUCUUUUUAUGACAAAAUCAGGCCAUGUCAAAAAAAACAUAAUAGAUCUCCAUUAAAACUUUGAUGAACAGGGCUUAGUUAUUGAACUAUUACACAUCUGUGACAAACAAUAUUUGAUCUGUAACAAACAGCUUCAUCAUAGAUCUCCACAUGGUACUUUCUGCAUUCAUGGGACCUGCAUUUACUCAUCCAUGAUGCUUGCAUUUCAUCAUAAAAGUAUUUGCUCGAUCCUUUCUCCAUGCGACGUGUACCUAUAUCACCCUUCUCCAUCCAACAUGUACCUCGGGGACCUAUAGUUACUCAUUUGUGACACUUGCAAUUCAUCAUUAAAGUCUCUGCUUGGUCCUUUCUUAGUCCACAUUUACCUACAGGACUCUUCAACAUCCGACCUAUGGGACACAAUGGCUUACAUGUCACGUGUACCUAUGGGACCUGAUGGCUUGCAUGUCACAUGUACUUAUGGGACCAUCCGACCUAUGGGAUCUGAUGGCUUACAUAUCACGUGUAACUAUGGGACCUUUCUCCAUCUUCAUCCGACCUAUAGAACCCACUGGGAUCUAAUAAUGAAUAAUAAAUUCAAAAAAUACCUCAAUGCCUGGGAGUUGAACCCGGGACCCGAAGGAAGGAAUGCACCGGCUUUACCAUUGAACUAAAGUGGAAGACAAAAAAGACUGAAGGGGAGUUUGAGGAGUUCAAGAUACAACAAUAGGAGGAGUACAAUAAGCGUGUGAGGAUAUCAUUCACUUCUGUUCUUCUUCUGGUAACUCUCCAUCGUCAACUUUACUUGCUUGAUGUAGUGAAAAAUCAUUGUUUAAUGUGUGUAAUUGUGUGCUGGUUUGAUGUGGUGAAACUGUCAGGGGGUUGUUAGCGAUGUAGCAACUGUCAGCGAGUUACUGCUGAUGUGUAAACAAUAAUUUGUUGUAUUUGAUUAUCAUACCGAAUAAUUAUGUAGACAUCAUCAAAUAAUUAUGUAGUCAAUCUGUGCAAUAGUAAUGAUCUUUGAAUUAUUUUUAUGAUGAAUUGAUUGUUGGGCAUGUGGUAGAACCUAGGUAGGCCACGUGAUCAAAUAAAAAGGAAACAUGUAAACGAAUCAGUGCAUGACACGUGAAAUAGCCAUGGCAAUGACACGUGGCCUAAUAAAAAUCUAACACAUGCAAGGAAAUCAUCAAGCCAUGUGACCAAAUGAACAAAAAACAUGACAUACAUCACUGUGACACAUGGUUCAAUAAGAAACGGCCACAUGAACAAAUAAAAAUACAACAUAUGGUCCAAUUAAGAAAUGACACUUGACCCAACAACAACACAAUGCAUGUGCCAGUAGAAAACUAACAUAUGGAACAAUAGAGUCUCAACAUAUGGUCCAUUAAAAACCUAAAAUGUGCAAGAACCAGAGAGAUGACCGUGUUGUCCAGUAAAAAAGUGACACGUAUCUAAACCAUCCCCAAUGCAACCGGCUAUAGCAGGUACUUGUGGAAAGCAUAUCUAACAGAAGCCAACGCCAACAUAGUAGUGCCCCCGCCACGCAUGCCAAAAUAGUUCUAUGAUAUUCUAUUUUCAUCACAGAUCGAGCCACUUCUAUGACAAUUUGGUGAAAUCGUCAUAAAAUUGCAAGAAUGACACAACUUUUAUGAUGAAUCAUUUUCCAUCAUAAAUUAUUUAUGAAAAUGAAAGUAUGAUUAAUUUGGCUCCUUCCGUGAUGAAAGCUAUUCAUCAUAAAAGUGGAAAUUUCUGCUAGUGCAAGCUACUACUCCCACAUUGAGCCAAAUAAUAGUUUAUUGUAAGCUUUGAUCAUUAUAUGUCACUCUCAUGAUGAAGAGGUCCUUAGAGGAGUACAAUAAAAAGAGUAAGAAAUAUUAAUAGCUUUGGAAUUUUAUGUUCAUGGUACAUGAACAUGAGGCCAAUUUGAUCGCAACAUAACCCUUAUGCUGGAUUAAUGUGGUAUAUCAUCAUGCAUUACAUGAGCAUCCUCAUCAAAGAUAUGGUUACUCCGAUCUAGCUCAUAGCUUGUCCCCCUUAGUCAAUUGAUGAUCUAGCUAGCGAUUUAGUUUUGAGUGUAUAGCAAAUGCAUGUCUUAACUGUGUUUCUUGUGUUGCAAAAACUAUAUGGUCAAAUACAAUGAUGUUGAAUGAUUUAUACUUGGGUUGCAAGAACCCACCAUGAGAGUAUCAUUAUGGACGUAGUCAUGAAUCUCAAUGGAGACCAUUGCCAUACAUAAUGAAGGUGCUAGCAUUAUUCAUCUUGAAAUACCAAUUUCUUUCUAUCUGUGUUAUGGAAUGAUGUGCCAUUAUUAUGGAUGGAUUUGUUUUAUGGAACCGUAUCUUAAUAGUGAUGUAUAUGUUCAUACAUUGUGUAUAUGUAUACGACCCAGGUCUGGUGUGAUCAAAAUAAUAUUUGUUUUUUAUUACAAUUGUAUUAUGAAAAUGCAAUAUUACUAUGGGCUUGUCCAAAUCGUUGGUGAUAUGGAAUCAACCGACAAUGGUGAUAGUGACAACACCACUAAAAAACAAAGCAACAACGGCGAUGGACAAUACAAGACCGCCGGGUCAAACACAACUACGAUGGUGAAGGAUAGGACUUCACCGCUACAUAGUACGCUAGACUAACAUUGAUACCACCAUUGAUCAACACCACUGGAUCAAACGGCAACCGGCUGUGCUGGUACCUACAGCAAAACCAGAUUAUAACCCGAACCGACAUUGAUGUCUCGUUCAUCGCUGCAGGAUGGUUUGUCCAACCGACAUUGUUGUCUCCAUCAUCACCACCAGAUAGUUCGCAACACCGAUGGUGGUACAUGACCAGUUGUUGUCGGAUCAAGCUCUGACACGGCAGUGAAGGUAACUGACAACACCGCCGUAUUGUCUGCUAAUCCGGUGGUGAUGAACAAUAUCACCACCGACUUCGGAACUGGCGGUGAUCAUCGGGCUAUCACCAACGACGGCCAAAACUAUCAGUCAAGGAGGGUUUGGAACCGGUGGUCAUAAACUUUCUAUAGUAGUGAUUGACUAGUUUCUUGCUGGGUGCAAUGAUCAAUUCGGCUAGAUACCCCAUAAGUUUGCAGAAAAACUUCCUCCCAUAGUCGAGCGAGCCACCUCUAGCCACCUCUAGCACCGAGCAAACCCAAGAUCUAGUCUACCUCAAUUGCCCUCAAUGCUCGUGGAGGGCAAUGGGUUGGAGGGAUGACUGCCCUCAAAACGAUACCCCGAGCAGAUGCCCCACUAGAAGAUGGAAACCUGACCUCCCAAACUUAAAUGGGUAGUAGCAGGGAGACCUCUUUGGGAGUUUUGGCUAAAAGCCGUAAGAACACGAUAGUACGAGAUGGGGGACACAACAACGAGCAAAUAUCACUGGGUUGCCAAGCUGGCGUUGGUGUGGGCCAGGGAUGAUGGAACAGGAUGGAUAACUUGGCAUCGGUGAGACGUAGCUUGGACAGGUGCUCUUAAAUACUCCCUCCGUUCCAAAUUAUAAGUCAUUUCAAGAAUCUUGGAGAUUCAAAGUUUUUCAAGUUCGACCAAAUUUAUAUAGCAAAAUAAUAAGAUUUUUGGUACCAACCAAGUAUCAUUAGAUUCUUUGUUAGUUAUAUUUUUAUAGUGUACCUAUUUUAUAACAUAAAUCUUUAUAUUUCUCUUUAUAUUUUUGGUCAAACUUGAAAAUGAUUUGACUCUCCAAGAUUCUUAGAAUGACUUAUAAAUUGGAACGGGGGAGUAAGAGAUAAUCUCAAGAGGAGGGUAUAUAUAUUGGGUUGAACAAUUACUGUUGGAGAUAAAUGCAAUUAUAAUUAUGCCCUUAACAAAAUAACUUUUAUUUCAACGAUUGCCUUUUAAAAUCAACACCAGCUAUUUACAUACAAAAAUACCUAGAGAAAUACCGGCUUCCCAGCACCAACCACUGUAAUAAAGCUCAUAAUUCAAAGGUUGGGACCCGAGGUAAUGACAUUUGCAUAUACUUUUUUCCCUAAUCCAUGGCUGAGUCUACAAAAGAGAAUUUCAGGAUCCCAGUCAACAAAUGUGUUGUAAUCCACAGUUUUAUAGGAUGGAGACGUAUGAGUAUUCUUCAACAAGCACAGAUUAAAUAUUAUUCAUCAAGACACGAUCUUUGUCUUUGUUGGUGUCGUUUCACUGUCCAUGUAGUGUUGGACAUCAUUCGCCAGGAUGGUUUCUUCCUCGCUGGACAGUGGACACUGGCUUCCUUUUGUUAAGGCUCCUUUCAGACCUGUUUCCUUCAUCGAUCUGCCGAGAGAUCCGCCGCUCCGCUACACAUAGCACGAGGCUUGAGCCAACAAAAAAGCUUAGAUUGCAGAGCUAAUCUGUAAAAUUUGAAAAAACACACACAGCACGCACGCACGCAGAGAGAGAGAGAGAGAGAGAGAGAGAGAGAGAGAUGGGCGGUUCAUCAGGCCUUGUGGACUGGAGAGGACGGCCGGUGAACCCCAAGAAGCACGGAGGAGUGAGAGCUUCAAUCUUCAUUCAUGGUAGGCCAGUAGUACUAGCAUAGCCUCCAUAGUCCACACUUCUGUUUCUUUUGAGCGCUCUCAGACCCUUGCUCAUAAUGUGUUGAGUCCAUUGAUUGUCGAUGACAGAAAGUUCCCUUUUCAGAGUGUUCCAGAAUCUGCUUUCUAAUAAUCUAAAAGUAUGGACACACGACACCACACAUCUGGUUUUGAUAGCUUAUUGUAAUGUCUUCUUUAGCUAGGUUGCUCAUCUUACCUACUUCUGUUUUUCCCCCCCUGUUUUCUCCAAUAAUUCAGACAGACGUGACCUAUUUUGUUUCACUGGACUGACAUCCCCAUAUAUACUUGAUCUUAGCAAUCGGUUUCUCUAUCAAACGUUCCGUUCCUCAUGCAUGCUCACAGUUUUUACUUGUUCGUCUUCCCCUGCAGCGCUGGUGCUGCUCAGCAACGCAGCCAACAUUGCCAACAUACUGAAUCUUGUAAGCUACCUGCGGGAGGAGAUGCACAUGGAUGUGGCGAAGGCCUCAACGAUAGCGAGCAACUUCUUUGCCGCGCUGCAGAUGUUCUCCAUCCCAGCAGCCUUCCUUGCUGACUCCUACGUCAAGCGCUUCUACACUGUCCUCAUCUUUGGCCCAAUCGAAAUACUGGUAUGGUCUAAGCUGUUACUCCAUGUUUUUUUCUUUUUCCGAGAAGAUGCCUCUAUUUUUAAUUGAUCCUUCUAAGGUAUUACUUGUUCAGGAAAAAAAUAAUACUCUUGUACAAAGUCUUGUUCUAUAUAUGCUCAAAAGUUUGUUUGUCAUGUGAUCAUGUCAACUAGUUGUGUUAUUGUGUAGUGGAGACAUAGUCUUGUCAUUUUCAUCUUUGUUUGAUCGUCACUAGCUCUUGUAAUAAUUGUCAGAUUGAACGAAAAACAAGAAGAGUGGUACAAAACGUGCUCAUGCACUCAGAUCCGAUCCAGUCUACAAACAUGCUCUUGCACAUGUCAUGUCACAGGCUUGCAUUUCAGUGAAGUGGUACAAGACCCCAACUAUAUGUUGGGAUAAGAUGUUUUAUUUUCUGUAUGAAUUCUAAUGUCAGUCUCACAAUAUGUAGAUGUAAUACCUCUCUGUUUCAAAAUAGUACGUACCUACAAAAACUAGAUUGUAAUUUUAAAAUGCAGGGAAUAGUAAUGAAGUUGACGCUGAAGCUAAAUUAUUUUCUGAAACGCACGAACAAAAAAUCUGUAUAUAUGCACAUACCUUUGUUGAAAGCAUAACAGAGGAUUAUUAAUUUUUUUUGUGUUGCAUUGGCGAGGAUGCAAAAUUUAAUGUAUGUGGUUUCAAAACUUGUCUCAACGCUUAGUGUAUCUACUGCCUUCUGGUUUGAAACUAGUACAAAGUUUCAACAGCAGAUCAUUUGAGUACAAUGAUAGACUAGAAUUAGUGUUAUCUGUCUUUUGGGUUAGAGCUUUGGAAUUCCUCUGCGUGACAAAAAAAAGUCAGUAAGCACUAGAGGUUGAUGCAGUUGGUGUUCUACAGUACUAUAUUAUUCUCCGGUGGUGGUCUGUGACUCUGUUGACUUUAUUUAGGUGUCACGUAUGAGUAGUUGGUGAUCUGUCACUCUGGUGACUUUAUUUGGUUGGCUUUGGGUAACCAAUAAUGAUCAGUACUCCAUUUGUGGAGACUUGACAAACCAGUCACUGAAAUGUGGGUGAGUCCUAGACAGGGUUACCAUUUUGCGUCCUACUUUUUAUUUUUUUUAUUAAGAUAAUUGAUUAAAAUUUGUUUAGAUUUUCAAUUUUUAGUUAAAAUUUUACAAUGUUCCAAAAAACUUUUGCAGCAUUUUCAGCAAUUUUUGUUUCUACUCUAGUAUUUGUUUCAUACUUACUCCCUCUGUCCCAAAAGAAUGUAACUAUGGGCUUCAUGCCAGUUAAAAUGUUCACGUUUGAUCAAGUUCCUACUUAAUAGUACACAUUUAUGGCUCCAAAUCAAGUUAUUAUAAGCAUAAUUAUUUUAAUUAAUCUAAUAAUAUUUAUUUGAAAUUGUAAAUAUUUAUAUUUUUUAUCCUAGUUGAUCAAAGUUAAGAUAUACUAAAACAUCAUUCUAUAACUAAGGGAGUACAUUAUAACACCACCGGUAGAAUUCCUAGGGCACAACUGACAAUAAAUCAUGUGUACAAUCAUAAAUUUCCCAUGUUUUCUCAUUGCUUCUGUUGCGUCCCCCCCCCCCCUCCCUCACUUAUGGGCUCAUUUUAAAUUAUUGUUUUCUAGGCAUUUAACUUCUCCGUUCUUUUGGAACUAUAUUGUUUAAUUGCACAGACUCUCCAUUAUGUCUAGUUUCAUACCCUUAAAAUUUCUUGAAUUUUAUCAUUAGUAGUGUACACUGUUUAAUGCAUACUUCAAUUAGAUGAGCAAAUUUCACUCAUUAAUCUCCAAAAUAACGGCAACGUAUCAUAUGCAACCCAGCUUCUUGUGCAGCAUAUGCAACCACCAAUUAAGGCCAUAGGAUCUAGAUCUAACGUCUGAGGUUUUUUUCACUUAAACCCUCCACCGGUGGGUUUAAAUCUAACCCGUGUGUAUCUAGAUGGGAGGGUUUAAGUGAAAAAAAUUUCGGACAUUAGAUCUAGAUCCUGUGGCGUUAAUUGGUAUUGCAUAAGUUGCACACGAAGAUGAGUUGCACAGGAUACGUACCAGAAUAACAUAUACAAAACAUCAAAUCAUGAAAGUAAGACAACAAACAUUACUACUGAUCAAAGAACGACCAAUUUAACCAAAAAUGUUUUUAACCAUCUAAUUAUUCAAAACAAAAAAGAGAUGACCUUUUUUUUUGAAACUUGAUGUAGGACUAACUAAUAAGCAUGGCGAUGUGCAGGGCUACAUCCUUCUUGCGGUCCAAGCGCAUGUCCCAUCCCUUCACCCGCCACGGUGCGUCUCCGGACAGCAGACAACCACCACCUGCGAUUCCGUGCACGGCUCAAACCUGAGCCUGCUCCUGCUGGGCCUCUACCUGAUCCCCAUCGGCGAUGGGGCGGCUCGGGCGUGCCUCCCGGCUCUCGGCGGGGAGCAGUUCGACACGUCCGAUCCCGUCGAGCAGAGACAGGAAUCCAGCUUCUUCAACUGGUACACCUUCUCCAUCUCGACGGGUGGCUUCGUGGGGCUCGUCUUCAUCGUGUGGGUGGAGAACAGUAAAGGCUGGGACCUUGGCUUCGUCGUCUGUGCCUUGUUCGUGAUCCUGGGGAUGCUGAUAUGGAUUGCCGGCCUCCCGUUCUACAGGAACCAGCUGCCAACUGGUAGCCCCAUCACCAGAAUAUUGCAAGUAUGUGUAUUGAUCAAACAAUAUGUUAACUUCAUGGAUAAUUUUAAUUUGUUUAUGUUGCUAAUAUAAUCUUUUCACACCCUCGUUAGGUUCUUGUAGCAGCAUUCAAGAAAAGAAAAGUUGCAUUACCAGCCAACCCCAGUGAGCUAAAACGGCAAGACGACGCGAGUGCCCUCGAAAUGCUGCACAGAACUGACGGAUUUCAGUAAGUAGCUAGCUAGAGAACGCUCCAAUUAUUCCUCCAAACAUUAGACAAAUGCAAUAAAAAAACUAGGAUGAAUUUUGUCCGAUCAUUUAUGUUUCUUUUUUGGCAGCUGCCUUGACAAAGCAGCAGUAGACACCGGAAAGGCUGGUGCCUGGACUCUCUGCAGCGUAACCCAGGUGGAGGAGACCAAGAUCAUCCUCCGGAUGGUGCCCAUCUUCCUCAGUGCUGUGCUCGGGUACAUUCCGGUGCCGCUGAUCCUCAAUUUCACCGUGCAGCAGGGCAACACAAUGGACACCAGGCUCGGCGCAGUUCACAUCUCACCCGCAACGCUAUUCGUCAUCCCUACGGUUUUCCAGAUGGUUAUCCUCGUCGUUUACGACCGGUUCAUUGUCCCGUUCCUAAGACGAAUAACCGGCUAUGUGGGCGGUGUCACGCACCUCCAGCGCAUCGGCAUCGGGUUUCUUUCGACCAUAGUGGCCACUGGCAUUGCAGCCCUAGUGGAGGCCAAGAGGAAGAAGGUGGCAGAAGACAGUGGCCUUGUGGAUGCUACAACUGGAAUUCCAAUGUCUGUUUUCUGGCUGACCAUACAAUACUUCCUUCUAGGUGUUGUGGAUGUCACCUCCUUUGUAGGGCUUCUUGAGUUCUUCUACAGUGAGGCGUCCAUGGGGAUGAAGUCCAUUGGGAGCUCCAUCUUCUACUGCAUCCUUGGGGUGUCUGCUUGGCUGGGGAGCCUGUUGAUCCAAUUGGCAAACCGCUUUUCAAGACAUAGUGAUGGAACAGGAGGCUGGCUUGAUGGCACAAACUUGAACAAGGGCAAACUUGAUCGAUUCUAUUGGUUGCUAGCUGUUCUUGAGGUGGUAUCACUAUUAUUGUACGGCUUUUUUGCUUGGAGGUAUGUUUACAGGAAUGACCAAAGGGUUGUGGUUGAUGGAGAUAAUAACGCUUCAUCAGACGGUGCCAUAAAUGUGAUCUGAUCACCUGCAAGUGUUUCAAGGAGGUAUUGUGAAUGGUGACGUGAACAAUUCAUGGAUAGCAUGCACUCAAGCAAAUCAGCUGAGAAAUAUAAUUCUGGUUACAUUGGUUUCAUACUCCCUUUGUUGGUCACAAAUAACUGAUGGUAUAUUAACACAUUAUUGAAAAAAUAUGACUUUCACCAGUAGGUUUUGUUGUAAUAUAUAUUUGUACUGUUGAGCACUCUUGUUGGCAAUUUGAGUUGGAAAACACAUGCAUGUAAUGUUGAGAAAACCAUAUUUAACUGUUUACCCUAUUAAGUUUAGUUCUUUUCUCUGGUUUUCUUAAUUUCAUGCCAUACCAACGAGUGGCAGAUCCAAAUAAAAUAUUUAGGGGGUGGGGGGGGGAGGGGAACUGGGCCAAAGGGAAGUAGACCAACUUAACUGACUAGUAUAUUGCCUGCAGCGACACCACACACUAAUGGAAACGCGCGCUUUGCCUAGUGUCUAAGACAGGGCAAACAACAAAAAACACUCGGCAAACCAUUUGCCAAGUGCCACACUCGGCAAAGCCGAGAUGGCAAAAAAAAUGAUAGCAAAGCAAGCUUUGCCGAGUGUCUUUUUUCGGGCACUUGGCAACGCCUUUGCCAAGUGCCCAUUUGACACUCGGCAAACAAAAGUAGCCCAGACGGCGUCAAGUGGUUUACCGAGUGUCCGAUUUCCAACACUCGGCAAAGACAUUUUUUAAAAAAAAUAAAAUUAUAGUAAUUCAAGCUCUUCCUCAAGCUGCCUCAAAAAAUUCUUCAAGCUGCCUCAAAAAAUUCUUGAACUGUCCAAUUUUCACAUGGUUAGUAAUUCACAUCAGGUGACACCAUUAUAGUAUAGUGAAAUGUAAAUUCAGGGCUCAAGAUAUCACCAACUUCCUGUUCAAGCUGCAUCCUGUUGAUAUCUUCGCUCUUCCUGCCACCAUUGCUCUUCCCUAUUCCAUCCAUCCUAUAUAAAAUAAGGGCACUCACAAUGCAAGACUCUAUCACAGAAUCCAAGACAAUUAAUUAUAUAUUAUUUAUGGUAUUUUGCUGAUGUGGCAGCAUAUUUAUUGAAGAAAGAGGUAGAAAAAAUAAGACUCCAAGUCUUAUUUAGACUCUAAGUCCACAUUGUUCGAGGUAAUAAAUAACUUUAGACUCUACGAUAGAGUAUGCAUUGUGAGUGCCCUAAGUAACCAAAAAACAAUCACUGCAUCAUUAAUUUACUGGGAAGAAACCAAUCGACCUAUCCUCCACCAUGCUAACAGACGACAUAAAUGGAAACAAUGCAAGCCUGUGGAGGCUACGGCAGUAUUUUCACAACGUCUAAUGUAAUAGAUCUCUGAAAUGUUAAUGAUCCCAAAGAUGUAUUUUGAAUUCUGUAAACAAUUACUGCCCAAGGGCAGCAUAUGAGCAAUAGAAUUCAGGUGUUAUCCUCUCCUCCCUGGUGACUUCACGGAAAAAUGCAAGCCUUCUGGUCAACAGCAGAAUUUGUAAUAACCAAAUAAAAAAUCCCACAGCCAACGAUAAUACAUUUCUGGUUCAUCACACUAUGUCCGUAUCUAACACCAAAUCCAAACAACAAAUAGCUCUGGAGCACUGUUGGCAAAACAAAGAGGGAUAGGGUGACCGUACCUGAUCGAGCGGUGAGGUGGCGAGGCAUCUAAGUAGCCAUGUAGGCCUUCCGCUCCUCCCACGGCGUGGGCAGGAGCUGGGGCACGCUGAGCAUGGCGUCGAUGCAGAGGUUCUCAAGGCAGCGGCAAUGAUGGUGCACCAUCUCCAUACGACGUCGCCGCUUCCCAGCCCGGGCAUAAUUGUGCCUCCGCCGUGGCCUAUGAGCCAGGCCAAGGCUCCCUCCCUCUCUCUCCUGGCGCCCGCGCCCACACUCUCCUGCGUGGCAUCCUGCGCGGCGCGUGGCGGAGGGGAUAUGGUGGCUGCUAGGGUUGGGGUAACACCCAAACUGGCCAUGCGGGAGCAAUGAAGGUGGACACUUGGGCCGACUCUUGACUGCGGCGGCCGGGCAUGGAGGAGGGGAAGAAGUGCUGUCGGCCAUGGAGCAGCUUGGUCACACUCACGGCGACUCUGUUUCUCGUUGUGCGGAUGGAGGGAGAGGAUCACGUGUGGUGAGAGAAGGGGGAGAGGAGUCAGUUCCAUCUUACAUUGUCGAUUAUAGCGAAAAAGACAGAAAAAAGAAAGACACCAUGAGGGAUCGAACACUGGUUGCUUGUCGAGGGUGCAGGGGCAGGCUAGAGUGCUGGACACGGGCGUGAGAGAUUAGAGAGACGAGGAGGAACAUACACGCAAUCUUAUCUGUCAGAUUCGAGUGAGCAAGGAGUUGGAUGGUUGAUUUUAUGGAGUUGUUUUUCUAGGUACGUUUUAUGGAGUGUGCGGAGGGAGGCUAUCUCAACCGGUGAGGUUUUUUUGGGUAGAUUUAGUAAAUAAAAAUAUGGUGAAUUAAUAUGGUAGAUUAAAUCCCAUACAAAGCUAACAUAUAGCAGUUUUAAACCUUCUACAUGGCAACUUAGAUAAUUGAUUGAAAGUGCAUCAUAAAACGCAUAAGAAGAAGCAAAAAAUUUUUUUGUAACUAUCCAAUAAAAGAUCAAUUGAUGACGACGCAUUCAUGCUGCCAUAUUCUUCAUAAAUCAUUGGAAGCAAUCUAUAUACAAGGAAAAUUAAAUUACUGGCACAAAUUUCAAGUAUUUAUCUUUGGAGUUUUGAAGGUAGAAGAGAACAUAUACCACUACGGCAGGUUUUCUUGUCUUCAAAUUGUUUUAUGAUUUUGUCAUUGUUGAUGCUUCUAAACAUCUCAUUCUUAGGUGUAGCAUAUCAUUAUUAAGUGAUUGAGCCAUUCACCGCCCAUUUUGUUACGUAAAUCUAUCUUUAUAAUAGACAUAAAAGAAAAUAUUCUCUCAAGUAAAGCUCUUGCCACUAGAGAAUUGUUAAUUCAAUGAGCCGAUACACCAAUCGAUAAGAUAUGUUCAUUUGAGUCUUGUCCAUCAUUUUAGCCACUUUUCCAAUCUCCAUAGAUCCAAGAAAAUCUUUAGUUUUUCUAGCACGACUGACGAAGGCUCUCAGUUGAUUUGGCAAAAGGAGGUUGCCAACACCAAAAUCCACAACAUAAAUUUAAGCAAGUCUCACAAGCUUAUCCAAAUCAAAAUUAGAGAAGGAGUUCAUUAGGCUAAGACAAGCCAUGCAUACUAAUAAUUCUGAACUAAAUUCAUUAAAUCGAUGAUUCAUCUCAGACAAAAUGGCAUCUAUGGCAGCAAGGAAAACCUCAUCAUAUAUGGUAGAAAAAUACAUGUUUAUUCUUUGAUUCAUAAAGUCAACACACAAUAACCUUUCAUGGCAAAGAUAGAACUACCAAAAUUUUCAGGUUUUCCCAAGUCAAAGAAAAGAUAAUAAUAUGGGAAAAAAGCUUCAUCGUUUAAACUAUUAUACUCAAGCCAAUCAAACUCAUCAAACCAAGUUUGUUGAAAUGAUCACCAUUGAUCACUUUUCCAUUUACAAGCAAAGGAAAGAUUACGAGGUUGGGUUGGACCUCUCAAAGCAUAUUCUCUUCUUACUUGACCUCUAAUUUCAUAUGCAUAUUUUUCAAUUGGUUUGUGAUUUCCAGGAUCACCAACUACCAUUGGAUUGACUAAACUCCACUCUAUGUAUCUUUGGUUGAUUUGUACUGUCAUUAGUGCUUGGAGUUGUUGAUGUAACAAUACAACUUGAACUACAAAAAUAUUUGUGCAAAGAAAAUUUGAACAAUCUGCAAUUUAUUAAAUUUUAAUCAAAUUUUGAACAAUUAUACAAAGUUCAAAAGGCAAAUCUAAAGAAAAAUAAUAGGUAUACGGUAUACCUAUCUAUGAGAAUAAUAUACAUAUACAUACAAGAAUAAAUAGCUAUAGCUAUUGUAAAUAGCUAAUUUUAUUUUCUCUCCCAACCAUGCCAUGGAUUGGAGUCGGACGAUCAAAAUGAAGCACUAUUGUGUGCAGUGUGCUGCUGCCGCCUCUAUCCAUCUUCACCAAAGGCUGUUGGCUUAACUAGGCCACAACUGUAUCAACACCCAUGCAGUACCAACAUGCUAGUGGUUAGGCAUAUAUCAGCUAUCCUUUUCUUAGUUUUGUUUUCUUAAUUAAUCUUUCAUAAAAUGUUUAUGAUUAUCUAAAUACAAGAUUAUGGGUUUGAAAAACUCAUGGGUUCAUGGGUGAAAGAACAUCUAGGCCCCUAAUGAUUUCGGCGAUUAUUGACAAUGUUGAUUACUCUGACUAACAUGUGUUUUGCAGAGGCAAAGUCAUUAGUGAGGUCAUGGUAAUAGGUACUCGAUGAACAGGGACGUACAUGCCUACUUAAUAGUGGCAAUCGUUUUUGGUUUUCAAAGGAUGGAUGGACAUCGUCAAGACUAGACUAAGUCUAAGUGCCAUAUGGUGAAGAAGGACACUUAGAGUAGUUUAGGACUUUGUUUUCCUUUGACCGUACUAUUAAGAGGGGCUCUGAUCUAGUAGCUUGACUUAGGCAAGGCUUUAGGUUUAGGUGUGGUGCACACUUGGUAAACCUAGCACUAGGAAGCUCAGAGUUAGUCCUUAGAUCGAGAGGAACAAACUUUGUUUUGGAACGGUCGCGUUUCGAUGAAGUUUGGGUGCCCAAGUUGGCACCGGACGCUCUGUGAUUGCGUCCGGUGAGGUCAUUUGCAGUCAGAGUGCUGAGUGCCUAGGGUUAGGCACCGGACGCUAGCAUCGGAGACACCGGGUAGCGUCCGGUCCUAAACCCAGGGAGGUCCACAGUGUGACCAAGGUCACCAGACGCUAGCACCGGACUCGCCGGGUAGCGUCCCAUCCUAAACCCAGAGAGGUCCACAGUGUGACCAAGGUCACCGGAUGCUAGCACCGGACUCGCCGGGUAGCGUCCGGUCCUUAACUCAGGGAGGGUGAAAAGUUCACCCUCGCACCGGACGGUGGCACCGGACACUGGGAAGUAGCGUCCGGUGACCUAUCAGAGGCAAGUACAAUUAGCCGUUGAGUGUCACCGGACGCUCGGUGCAGAGCGUCCGGUGCAACAUCAACAGCGUCCGGUGAUCCCGUUUUCAGUGUAAAAUAGUUGGCCGACCCUUGGGCUUCAUGGGGUGUAUUUAUACACCUCCACCUCGUCCAUGGGAGGUCUCUUGCCCAUUUGAUCAGUUGAGAAUCACCUUGUGGUGCAAGAGAGAAGCAAGAGCCUAGAGAGGAUUGAGAUUUGAGAGUUUUCUUGUGAGAAUCCUUCUCUAGUUGAAUUCCAAGAGUCAAGUGUGCAUCCACCACUCUCUAGUGCCUUGUUUCGGUCAAGUGAGAGUUCUUAACUUGUUACUCUUGGUGAUCUCCAUCACCUAGACGGUUCGAUGGUGAUUGGGGGCACGUAGACCGCCCGGAGUUCUUGUGAGUCUCUCGUGUCAAGCUUGUGAGCGGUUUUGGGCGAUUCACCGUGACGGAGUGUCAAAGAAUCAACCCCGUAGAGAGCACUUGAUCCUUGCGUGGACCAAGGGGGAGGAAGACCCUUGCGCGGGUGCUCCAACGAGGACUAGUGGAGAGUGGCGACUCUCCGAUACCUCGGCAAAACAACGCCGAGCAUUUUCUUCCACUACUCCUUUACUUUCUGCCACUUACUUUGUGUUUUUACAUUCCUAGAAUUGCCAUGCUAGAAUAGGAUUAGAACUAGGUUGCAAAACUUUUGAUCCGGUAGCUCUCUAGUCACACUAGGCACAAGGGGUGAAAUUGGAGCUUAUAGGUUGCUUAAAUUUUUAGAAAAGCCCAAUUCACCCCCUCUUGGGCAUCUUGAUCCUUUCAAUUGGUAUCGGAGCCUAGUGCUCAGUAUUUAGGCUUCACCGCCUAGAGAAAGAUGUUUAACGGGGAUGGACCGCCACCCAUGUUCGAUGGGGAUGACUUCCCGUAUUGAAAGAUUGUUGAGUAUUUUAAACGCAAACAGAAAAAUCCGCAAGCGCACGGAUACCGAUGUAGCUUUCACCCGGGAGUAUUCCAGAGUAUCAAUUUUCCACAGGGAACAUGAGUGUACUAGUUAAGGUUCAAGAUCGCCCAAGCAUAACUAUAUAAUUAUUUUUGGUGGGAAGAGAGGAAGUUUCCUCAGAGUUCUCUAGUUGAUCUAAGAAUCAAGAAUUACUUCAAAGAUUAUUUAUUUUGGGAUGUCAGAACACUAACCACAGAAAGAGAUGAGAAGGGGGCUAGGAAGCUCUGACUACGGUCCUACAAACACCGAUCCGAACGAGGUGGAAUACGUUGACCGUUAGGGCUGUCACUACCCUAGCGCUACCACAACAAUCCGCAGGAUUGGGUGUAAUUCUAGGUAAUUGCAAGACUAAACACCACGUCUAAUCUAUUAAUUACUACUCUAGCAUUGCAAAGACUAGAGCACUUGAUGCAAGUGGGAAUCCAAUAAAUAACUAGAAUGUAAAUAAAAGUAAUUAAAGAACUCAGGAAUUAUGAAUUGAAGAACUUGGAGAACGAUGAAGAACGAAUCAGUUGCUGUAAAAGUACAAUGUUGAGGAAGAUCCGACAGAUCCGGCUCCUCCUCCUCUGCUCUCCUCUUCUCUCUCCCUAUUUUCUAGAUUACAACUAGAACUUACUAGAACUAGAACUAGAACUAGAUGAACUAGAACUAGAACUAGAUGAACUAGAGGGAUCCUCUCUACUUGGAUGAAUAAUUGAAACUCUAGCUUUGAUUCUGUAGAAGAGGUAUGUUCUCCAGGAGGCCAGGGGGUCUGCUUUUAUAGUCCUUCCAAGUGAAUAUGGGCCGUCGGAUCAAACCGACAUUAAUCGCACGAUUUUCCUUGAUCCCUUAAUUCGGUGGAGCAUGAUCCGCGAAGUUGACCCUAAUUGGGCACUACAUGAGGGCGGGCGACCUGGUCUCUAGGGCGGGCACCCUGGGCCAGGCCCCGUUCUGCCUUAGCUUUGUUCCCGUGGCUUCUGAAGUCUUCUAGAUGAUAGAAAAUUACCGCACACAUUAAUAUCUCUAUGUAAACCCGAUGUGUGGGCCUUUCCUCCAUAUUUCCUGAUAACCCCCUGCAGAAAUAUACAAACACCAAAACUCGUGGAAUUCUAUCAGAUAAAAACCCUAAGUCUGCGGGUUGGUUGCAUUUGGAUCCUUUUCUAUGAUUAGUUGACGGUUAAAUGUGAGCAUUAAGGACCGUCAACAAGCUCCCCCAAGCUUAACCUUUGCUCGUCCCUGAGCAAAGCUAAAAUCAGCAAGGAAACAAGGGUUACCUUUAUGCCUCUUACUACAGGGUUUUUAAGUUAUCACUAAGGUCUUAAGUGAUUGAAAAAUAGAACGAUCAAGUCAAGUACUAUAUCUCAAAUUCUUCUGUCUUACCUUUGUUCUAGAGUUUUUUAUAAGUCUGCAAAAUAAAACUGAGGCAUUUGCCUUCUUCUCGAAAGAUAUAUAUAAGUAGAGCUUUAAAAGUUUUAGCAUACUUACUUUGCAUUUUGCUAUGUCAAUGCUUGGAGUCAAGGGAGAGGAAUGUCAUACUCCUAGAUCAAGACCUUUGACCUUUUUGAAAAGUUUGUCAUCUCUUACUGGCAUAUUACUUAUUAGAGGGACCAUGGGCUAUCAUUUUUUCUUUUUUUCUCUUUUUUUAAGUCUCUCUCUUUUUUUUCUUUUUUUUCAUGUUGGCACCAAGUACCCCUAAUUCUACUGUCGGACAUGUGUCCAUUUUUUUCACUCAGGUGGGCAUCUUUGUACCCCUAAUUCUACUUCGGACAUUUGUCCAUUUUUACCUCUCGUCUCACUCUUUUUUUUUCGAAUCAAAUUUUUGCAUAGUCCCAUGCCUCUAACGCAAUAAUACUUCGGAAGAGUGAAUCUUUUAUAUGUUUAAAACAAAAAGACCUUGAUCUUUGGAGCAUGAUAAUUCUCUCAAACAAAACUACACGAAUUAACAAUGGCUUGAACAAAGCAAGUGCCCACAGUUUUAAUAUUUAUAUCUUAUAAGACUCUAGGUAUUAUGUCAAACAAGAUCUUAUUCAUUUUUAGAUUUUCAAAAGAUAAAAUCUCCAGAACUCUAGCGAAACAUAGAACAAGUUAAAUAGUAGCUCAGACCUUCUCAUAUCAUGUUUGUCAAUUAUCUAGACUUGGAUCAAACUUUCUUUUUAUUUUAUUUAAAACUUAGGAUUACACAAAACUAUUGUAUAUUACUCAAAAGAAAAACUUUGUUUGGUUUCAUGGUUAAGCAUUUUUUAUUUCCGAAUACUAGUAAAUAAAACCAAGAAAGAAAAGUAAUACUUAUCUAGAUACACAUGGGGGUACCUCUCCUGUAACAGAACCGCCCAAAUUAUAAGAGAUUAAGCCUAAUAGCGAACAUUUGCAUAGUCAAACCAUCGAGCUUAAGCCCAUAUAAUCCCGGUAGUCCGUGAAAUCUCGAAGGAUUUCAAACCACAUAUCGUACAUACAGCCAAGAUCGUAAUAAGUUUAGCGGUCACCAUCCACAAUUACAUCCAGUUCAUAAACAUUCAUCAAAUACAUUGGAGUGCUUAAAGUUAUUACAAACCAAGUUCUCAAGUAGUAGAAGCUUCAUAGUUUGAAAGUACACACACAAGUUCAGUUGAUACAGUGCCCUAGUUUGGUCAUUCCCACAAAAGCACAAGAGAAGACAGAGUGACCAUCGCCCUUGGUGUAGUCAUCGCCCAUCGUUGGGUACAAGCAGAGGAUGUAAUAACCAUAGUACAUUUGACCAUCUACAAAACAACAUGGGAGUAGAACCCUGAGUACGAGAAUGUACUCAGCUAGACUUACCCGUCAUAAAUAAAAAACAAAGACUCUUCAAGGAUCAUGAAGGCUAUAUAGUGGGGUGGCUGAGACUGUGGGGGUAUAAACCCCUAUACCCUUACGGCUAGACUUGGGCCAGGAGGCUUGGCCCAUUACGAGACGAGUUCAAGGCUUGAUUCGACAGCUUGGAGUUUUGCGCAAGGAAACAAGAUGUGGAGAUCAAGCAGGAUUCUAGUCGGUUAGAAUAGGAAUUGAUAUCGAAUUAUCCAUGGCAAUUGUAACCGACUAGGAUUAGUUUCUAGAUCUGUAACCCUGCCCUCCAGACUAUAUAAGGAGGGGCAAGGGACCCCCCUAGGACAGAUUAUCUCUCAACACAAUCCAAUACAACCAGACGCAGGACGUAGGUAUUACGCCAACUCGGCGGCCGAACCUGGAUAAAAAGCUUGUCCGUGUCUUGCGUCACCAUCGAGUUCGUAGUUUGCGCACCAUCUACCGAUAAACUACUACCGUGGGUAUACCCCAAGGUAGACUGCCGACCAGCUUUCGUCGACAGUGGCGCGCCAGGUAGGGGGUGUGCGUACAGCUCUCCCGACGAACAAGAUGGCCAUCAUCCCCGACUUCGCGGCCAUGGCGGGCGACUUCACGUUCACCGUCAGCUUCAACAACUUCACCGCCAUGACCACGGAGGAGGUGUAGAUCCGAUCUGCGCCAACCACUUCUUCAUCGACGUCGGCGGCGGCUUCAACCACGCUGGCUACGACUCCGACUACUCCAGCAACGUCUCCGACCACGCCGACAACGCGUCACCCGCUUCCCUGCUACAAAGAGAGGCAGAUCGACAACACCGACCUGCUCGGGCCAUCGACCAAAUUGUUUAGCCUACUUGCUCUGACCACCAGUCGCAAUAAUAAUCGCCGCGAAGAACGACGCUACGACAACAGCGACCACCGUCAUGACAAGUCGAAAAGCUCGAGGGCCGGACAAUUUUGUCGUCACCGACUAGACUUUCAUCCAAAGAUAAGUACACUUCUAAUAUCUUAUUUAUUUUUGGCAUAAUAUUUUUUAUUAUCAUUCAAAAAAAACUUUUUAUUUAGCCACACUAGUUUUUUCUCCUACACGAGCUUUCCAGAGCCGGUACUGUCUCCGACUCCUCCCUACACGUGCACGAGAUCCGCCCUCUGCGUUCCGGGUGGUCGGCAGUAGCUCUCUGGCGAGGCUGACAAUCCCACGCGUGUCUAGGUUCCGCACCUCAUGCUGAUUGUUGGCUAGACCAGAGCUGGUACAAGCUCUAGGAUGAAUUAACUACUUGUGCUAAUUUUAUAACAAAAAAUCUAAAACUUAUCUCAGUACUGAUUUUUAUCUAAAGUUUAUUUAUACAUCAUGUACUACCUAUUCUUUAUAUUUAUUUUUCAGGGGUUUGGCCCAGUCGACAAGCUACGCUCGGGGACUCGUCGACUAUUCCCUACGCUGUGCCCGGGGACUGCUCCGACCACCGAGCACGUUUACGUUUCCAACCACGCUCGGGGACUUGUCGACUACUCUCUAUGCUGUGCUCGAAGACUGUGCCGACCACCGAACACGUUUACGUUCCCAACCACGCUCGGGGACUUGUCCACCGGUCCCUACGCCGUGCUCGGGGACUGUGCCGACCACCGAGCACUAUACGCUCGGGGACUGGUCGACCAGCUCACCAAUUUAAGAACUUGGGGACUGCACCGACCACCGAGCACUAUACGCUCAGGGACUGGUCGACCAGCCCACCAAUUUGAGAAUUCGGGGACUGCACCGACCACCGAGCACUUGAUGCUCGGGGUCUGGUCGCCCAGUCUAUUAACUCGGAUGUGAAGGACUGCACCGACCACCGAGCACUUGAUGCUCGGGGACUGGUCGCCCAGUCUAUCAGCCCGGAACUUCGAAAAUUCCGGCGACCACUGAACGCUCGAUGCCCGGGGACUGGUCGCCCAAUAUAGCAACUCAGAAUUCUAAGGAGUGCGCUUGGUGCUUGGGGCCUGGUUGUCAUACUUUUGUACACCCGGGGACUGGUUGAUUAGUCUAUUCAACUGCAGACGGACUGGUACUUUCAAUUUUUUAGACCUUGCUACAAGGCUCAUACUUCGCCUUACAGCAAGCUCGGGGACUACAUCGGUACGAUGCAUCUGGCGAUGCAUCUCAGUUACAGAAUUUCUUUAAGGACUUUUCUUUUAACCCUGGCACCACGUGCCUACGUCACCUACUACCAGGCUCGGGGACUAAGUGGGCACACUUCACCUUGCGGUGAAUAUGCUUGCUUUUUUGAGAAUAAUACCUUACAAAAAAGUAAAGUGGGCACACUUCACCAGGAAAGAAAUCUUUUUUAAUUUAGAGCACCAUGCAUUCUUCGAACAACCUACUUCUUCGAUGUCAAUGUUGAUCAACUGUCUUUUGAGUUGGUCAAAAUACCGUUGCAACUGUUCGGACAACUUUCCUGAAGACGUCAAGCCUCACUGAUCGAAGAAGCUCAAGACGGCGUGUUACAUCACAAUACAUGGUGCUCGGGGACUAACUGUGGGGGUAUAAACCCCUAUACCCUUACGGCUAGACUUGGGCCAGGAGGCUUGGCCCAUUACGAGACGAGUUCAAGGCUUGAUUCGACAGCUUGGAGUUUUGCGCAAGGAAACAAGAUGUGGAGAUCAAGCAGGAUUCUAGUCGGUUAGAAUAGGAAUUGAUAUCGAAUUAUCCAUGGCAAUUGUAACCGACUAGGAUUAGUUUCUAGAUCUGUAACCCUGCCCUCCAGACUAUAUAAGGAGGGGCAAGGGACCCCCCUAGGACAGAUAUUCUCUCAACACAAAUCAAUACAACCAGACGCAGGACGUAUGUAUUACGCCAACUCGGCGGCCGAACCUGGAUAAAAAGCUUGUCCGUGUCUUGCGUCACCAUCGAGUUCGUAGUUUGCGCACCGUCUACCGAUAAACUACUACCGUGGGUAUACCCCAAGGUAGACUGCCGACCAGCUUUCGUCGACAGAGACUUUUGCAUAAAAGCAUUGUUCCACUAAAAAAACCUUUCUUCUUUUAAUUAGCUCAAGUUCAAUAUUAUCAUUACCUAUUAUCUAGGUUUGUACCUGUACUAUUACAAGCAAGUGUAGUAAUAUGAUGGUACCUCAUCAUAGCAUUCAUGAAACCAUUUAUCAUUAUAACCCAAGUGUUCCAUAGUCCUUACUACGAGGACAGGGCUCAUGUCAAGUGCUCACUAUCCAGGAGCGAUGGCGAUUCGAAUCGAUUUCUAACCAGUUGGCGAGUUAUUCCCCACACAAACCACACUCACUGAUCAAGUGAGCUACAGAUCACCGUGUUGCACUAUCUAGGACCAAUUCGCGGGUUCGACAGGCACCGCCCAUACCUGAGGACCGUUCCAGCGACCGAGGUAUCCAAGGUAUACCAAGGUUGCGCGCCGCACCCUCGUCGUUCUCCUCAACCAUCACCAAUACAGCGCGUACAUCGGGCCGACUCCUGGCCCGGAUAGUGCUCAGGCUUCGCGGUCGGAACGACGUAUCCUUCCAACUAAGUGUGGGGCAUACGUUCAACAUGACAAGAGGGCCGUCAACAAUCGGUCCUUAAUCGACACAGGCUGGAGCACUACAGUCAACCCACCAUAAGGCCCUGCCCGGUCUCAAAUUCCAUUCCACACUUGGUUAUCCAUCCUGUGGGGGUAUAAACCCCUAUACCCUCAUGGGCCUAUAUGGGCCGCACCAUUAGAGGUGGCUCGGCCCACAGGAUGAAGACGUGCGGCGCACGACUAGUCGGCGUGCACCGCAAGGCUACAAGAUAUUGUACCAAAUAGGAUACUUUGCUUGUAACUCUGUCCCUUCACGAUAUAUAAGGAGGGGCAGGGGUCCCUAGAGGACACAUCAUACAUCAUAUUCUCUCAACACAAAUCAAUACAACCAGACGCAGGACGUAGGUAUUACGCCAACUCGGCGGCCGAACCUGGAUAAAAAGCUUGUCCGUGUCUUGCGUCACCAUCGAGUUUGUAGUUUGCGCACCGUCUACCGAUAAACUACUACCGUGGGUAUACCCCAAGGUAGACUGCCGACCAGCUUUCGUCGACAGUGGCGUGCCAGGUAGGGGGUGUGCGUACAGCUCUCCCAACGAACAAGAUGGCCAUCAUCCCCGACUUCGCGGCCAUGGCGGGCGACUUCACGUUCACCGUCAGCUUCAACAACUUCACCGCCAUGACCACGGAGGAGGUGUAGAUCCGAUCUGCGCCAACCACUUCUUCAUCAACGUCAGCGACGGCUUCAACCACGCUGGCUACGACUCCGACUACUCCAGCAACGUCUCCGACCACGCCGACAACGCGUCACCCGCUUUCCUGCUACAAAGGGAGGCAGAUCGACAACACCGACCUGCUCGGGCCAUCGACCAAAUUGUUUGGCCUACUUGCUCUGACCACCGGUCGCAAUAAUCGCUGCGAAGAACGACGCUAUGACAACAGCGACCACCGUCAUGACAAGUCGAAAAGCUCGAAGGCCGGACAAUUUUGUCGUCACCGACUAGACUUUCUUUCAAAGAUAAGUACACUUCUAAUAUUUUAUUUAUUUUUGGCAUAAUAUUUUUAAUAUUAUUAUUCUUUAAAACAACUUUUUAGCCGACUAGUUUUUUCUCCUACACGAGCUUUGUAGAGCCGGUACUGUCUCCGACUCCUCCCUACACGUGCACGAGAUCCACCCUCUGCGUUCUGGGUGGUCGGCAUUAGCUCUCUGACGUGGCUGACAAUCCUACGCGUGCCUAGGUUCCGCACCUCAUGCUGAUUGUUGGCUAGACCAGAGCUGGUACAAGCUCUAGGAUGAAUUAACUACUCGUGCUAAUUUUAUAACAAAAAAUCUAAAACUUAUCUCAGUACUGAUUUUUUAUAUAGAGUUUAUUUAUACAUCAUGUAGUACCUAUUCUCUAUAUUUAUUUUUCAGGAGUUUGGUCCAGUCGACAAGCUACGCUCGGAGACUCGUCGACUAUUCCCUACGCUGUGUCCGGGGACUGCUCCGACCACCGAGCACGUUUACGUUCCCAACCACGCUCGGGGACUUGUCGACUACUCUCUACGCUGUGCUUGAAGACUGUGCCGACCACCGAGCAUGUUUACGUUCCCAACCACGCUCGGGGACUUGUCUACCAGUCUCUACGCCGUGCUCGGGGAUUGUGCCGACCACAGAGCACGUUUACGUUCCCAACCACGCUCGGGGACUGGCCGAUCAGUCUCUAUGUCGUGCUCGGAGACUGUGCUGACUACCGAUCGUGCUCGGAGACUCAUCAAUCACUCCCUGCGCUGUGCUCGGGACUUGCUUCGAUCACUCUCCGACCACAGCUCGGGGACUGCUUUUCUCAGUUACAUAUCUAAUUGGACUGGAUAAUUUAAAUUUUUUAGACCUUGCUACAAGGCUCAUACUUCGCCUUCCAGUAAGCUUGGAGACUACAUCGGUACGAUGCAUCUGACGAUGCAUCUCAGUUUCAGAAUUUCUUUGAGGACUUUUCUUUUGACCCUGGCACCACGUGCCUACGUCACCUACUACCAGGCUCGGGGACUAAGUGGGCACACUUCACCUUGCGGUGAAUAUGCUUGCUUUUUGAAAGGCUAUACUUUUCAGAAAAGUAAAGUGGGCACACUUCACCAGGAAAGAAAUUUUUUUUAAUUAAGAGCACCAUGCAUUCUUCGAACAACCUGCUUCUUCGAUGUCAAUGUUGAUCAACUGUCUUUUGAGUUGGUCAAAAUACCGUUGCAACUGUUUGGGCGACUUUCCUACUUAUUGAAGACGUCAAGCCUCACUGAUCGAAGAAGCUCAAGACGGCGUGUUACAUCACAAAACACGGUGCUCGGGGACUAGCUGUGGGGGUAUAAACCCCUAUACCCUCAUGGGCCUAUAUGGGCCGCACCAUCAGAGGUGGCUCGGCCCACAGGAUGAAGACGUGCGGCGCACGACUAGUCGGCGUGCACCGCAAGGCUACAAGAUAUUGUACCAAAUAGGGUACUUUGCUUGUAACUCUGUCCCUUCACGAUAUAUAAGGAGGGGCAGGGGUCCCCUAGAGGACACAUCAUACAUCAUAUUCUCUCAACACAAAUCAAUACAACCAGACGCAGGACGUAGGUAUUACGCCAACUCGGCGGCCGAACCUGGAUAAAAAGCUUGUCCGUAUCUUGCGUCACCAUCGAGUUCGUAGUUUGCGCACCGUCUACCGAUAAACUACUACCGUGGGUAUACCCCAAGGUAGACUGCCGACCAGCUUUCGUCGACACUUCCCCAAAGCAAUCACCGCUAAUCAAGCAGGUAUCCACCUAUAUCUCGCAGGUGACAGGAAAUCACCCGACUUCUACCGGACUAAGCAAGCUAAGCAUAGACUCCGUGCCUAUCUACAUAGGACAAGGUAGGUUCACAAGAGGUGAUAUCAAGGAGUACCGAUGCAUCAACGGUAUCAAGCAAUUCCUAUCACUUAAAUGCAAAAUAGUAAAACAAGCAUAAUAUAUCAUUUAUGUUAGCAAGAAUAUGGAGGCUUAGAAUACUCCGGGGCUUGCCUUUCUCAAACGUGCUCGGCUUGUGAUCCGGGCACUCUUGCAACUCUUCUCCGGGCUCGGACACUCCCAGAGGUUCCUGCUCCUGUGCUUCCUCCUACUCCUCGGGUCCCACCUCGUUCUCCUGCGAGCCUGUAUGAUGCAUGGGUGCUCAUGAGUGGAGUGCGAGAUGCCCGGGGUGCAAUUCUCAUACGAGAUGAUACCAAAUGACCAUGACAUGAUGCAUAGAUGAUUUAGGUGGUCAUUUUUACAAGGUAGUCAACAUCAUCUAAGAGCAUGCAAUUACAUUAAGCAUCUAUUUCCUUCUCUUCUACAAAUUAUUUUCAAGUGUAACCAGCAAACUCACAUGGUGCUUCAAAGAUACACCAAACCCCUUUUAUUUUACUUAACUUAUGUGUAACAAUUCAUAAUUCCUUUAUCCAUUUUUAGGCCUACACAAGUAGCACAUUUCUAUUUAUCAAUAAAUUCCACAAAAAUUACAGUAGACUACCAGUCAAACAUAAAGUCUACCAUAAAUUUUUUUUAGAAUAUUUGGACACUCAUUUUGAGCUACAAAAAUCACAAGAUUAAUUCACAAAAGCAAGUGUAAAUACUCUACUGUGAUAUAAGUGUCAAACAGCAGAUUUCAUAUUUUUAUAAUUUGCUUAUUAUCAUAAGAAACACCCACAAAAAUUUCUAGAUUAAUUGCAUGAUCCAAUUAUUUAUUAAAAAUCAUAAACCACUGCCAUGCAAGCAUUUAAAUCACCAUAAAUUCAUUCAUACAGCAAAUAAUGUUUAACAAAAUUUUCCCAGUGACUAAACAUCCAUGCAGAGCCAACAAAACAAGUUUCAUAUUUUUCUGAGCUAUAUUUUAAUUACUAUGCAUUUUCCAAUUCUAGCAAAAACAUGGAUUAAAUAUAUUUGUACAGAAAAGUUGUUCAAACAUGACAUGCAACCACAGCAAACUGCAGAUCUAGGAAUAUAGAGUUCAUCAAACUUUAUUUCACAAAUUUUGGAGCUGUAGAACUCAAGAUAUGGAUUUUACAAGAUAUAAACAAUUUCUGGAAAAUCUUUAUUUAAGAAAACCGACGGAAAACGUUAGAUUCACCCAGAUCCACACCCGCAGAGACACUGACAGGUGGGAUCCAGGGGUCGUCGCCCCGCAGGUCAGCCAUGCAGAGCUCCGGCCAACUUCGGCCGGCCGGCUCUCGCCGACGGCGAGGUCUCCGGUCGCGUGGAGGACACCUACGGCUUCGUAUCAUCAAGGCGAACACGUUGAGCUAGAUCUCAUCGACGGAGGAGGUCCCUAGCGGCAGCUAUGGCGCACGGCGGAGCUCGGUGGCGCUGCUCGCCGGCGUCCGGCCGUCUCUGGCCGAUAGAGCGCGAACGGAGGGGUGCUUAUGGUUUGCGGGAGCACGACGACCACAACGCGCGAACAAACGUAGAGAAAAGGGGUCAGGAAGGGGGAGAUUCGUGGGGACCGAGAGCUCGCCGGAGCUCUGGCCAUGUCGCGGCGGUGAAAUCUCACCUAAUACCUAGACGCUGUCGGCCGGGAGUGUGCGCACGAGGUUGGGCUCGUCGAGGCGGAGCUAGGGGCGGGUUUAAUCGGGCGCGGGUGACCGGAGUUGAGCGCUGGGCUUCGGCGCCAAUGGCGCAUGGUGGAGCGCCGCCUCGGCUGCUGCUGCGCUCGCACGGGGAGGAAGAAGAGUGGGAGGAGCGGGCGACAGAGUGGAGGGUUCUGGGGUCGCGGGGCGGCGUCCCGACCAGGUGUAGGCGGGCCGACCGCGGCGCGUCCAACGCCGGCGUACGACCGCCACUUGGCCGGCGCCGGGUGGAGCGAAGCGGGCGCCGCGCGCGGGAGAGAGAGGGGAGGGGAAGCGGGCCGCGCUGCCUGGCUGGGCCGAAAGGGAGGUGGGUCGGCCCAGCAGCGCCUGUCCCCUUUUCCCUUUUUUUUGAAUUUCUUUUCUCAAAUUCUUUCUAAAUUCAUUUGGACUGUUUAAAAAUCACUUUUACCUUUUUCUCCCGAAAAAAAAGUUGUUCCAAAACAAAAACCCUACAACUUUGUUUUAAUAAGCAAAGCGAAAUUCCAAAUAGAAUUUGAAUCACAGAUUAAAACUAGUUCUAGGUUUUUAAAUAAAUUUAUUUUAGAGAUUUUUGUAUAAAUUCCAUUUCUCAAAUCCUAUGGCUCCAAAAAUUUCACAAAAAAUACUCUUAAACCUUUUAGCACACAAUUCAAUCUAAUUUGAAUAUUUCACAAUUUUAGAAGCAAGCAUAAUAUUUUUAACAGAUUUAAUUCACCUAAAUAAAGCACACAUAAAAUCACACUUGAAUUAUUUUUAUGCUCAUGGGAUGUGAUGCUUAUGCCAUGCUUGAUGAGAAUGCUUAUGAAUGUUUUAUGAGACUAAGUGCAUGCUUAACACCUAGGGUGUUACAGCCCUUCCCCCCUUAGGGAAAUCUCGUCCCGAGAUUUAGGUUACUAACCAUUUCUUAUGAAAUUUUGGGUAAACUGUUUUUAGGUAAUCCUCGGUUUCCCAGGUGGCAUCCCUAUCAUCAUGAUGACUCCACACCACCUUAUAUGUUUUGACAAUUUUGUUUUGGGUUACUCGCUCCUUGGUAUCUACGAUACCCACUGGCUGCUCUCUAUAUUCUAAGUCUGCUUUUAUUUUGAUUCCUCGGGGUUCAAUCCUUUGCUCGGGUACCUUCAAACAUUUCCUUAGCUGGGACACAUGGAAAACUGGAAAGAUUGAACUCAAUUCUUCAGGUAACUGAAUCUUGUAGGCCAUAGGGCCUUUCCUCUCUAGUAUCUGAUAUGGUCCCAAAUAUCUCGAAAACGCUGAACUUUCUUCAUUGGUGUAACCUUGUGGUAAACAUAGUCACCCACGUUGAAUUCAAGCGGCCUUCUUUGCUUAUCGGCAUAACUCUUUUGUCGCGAUUGUGCCGCCUUCAUACGCUGUUGUAUGAUUUGUACUUUUUCCUCAGCCUCGUUCACGAAGUCGAUGCCAUAGUAUCUCCUUUCACCAGGUUCGACCCAGUUUAACGGAGUUCUACAUUUAUGACCAUACAAAGCUUCGAACGGAGCCAUCUUGAUACUCUCUUGAUAGCUAUUGUUGUAUGAGAAUUCAGCCAAAGGUAACCAUGAUUCCCAUGAUCCCUUGGACGAUAGUACACAGGCCCUCAGCAUAUCUUCUAACACUUGAUUUAGUCUUUCCGUUUGACCCGAGGUCUGGGGAUGAUACGUUGUGCUUCUUAUCAGACUAGUCCCCAAACUCUUAUGCAUUCGCUCCCAAAAGUGAGCGGUGAACUGUGGUCCUCUGUCAGAUAUGAUGGUCUUGGGAAUGCCAUGUAAUUUGACGAUCUCAGCUAUAUAUAUGUCCGCAUACUCGGGAGGUCGGUAACGAGUUUUCACAGGGAUGAAAUGAGCCGACUUGGUCAAUCGAUCUAUGAUCACCCAAAUCGAGUCAUUCCCCUUUCCUAUUGUUGGUAAUCCUGUGAUAAAGUCCAUGCUGACCUCUUCCCACUUCCACUCUGGAACGGACAACGGUUGCAACAGACCUGUAGGUUUCAUAUGUAUAGCCUUAACUCUGCAACAUGUGUCACAACGGGCCACAUAUGCUGCUAUUUCUUUCUUCAUCUUAGUGCACCAAAAGUGAGAUCUUAGGUCUUGAUACAUCUUACUACUACCAGGAUGAAUAGAAAGCUUGGAGAGUUGGGCUUCAUCCAUGAUGCGAUCCUUCAAUUCUCGAUUCUUCGGAACUACCAGCCGGUGCUGAAACCACAAUACCCCUUUUUCAUCAACUCUAAAUUGAGUCCUUGGGUCAUUUUUAAUCUUCUCUUUGAUGUGGAAAAUACCCUUGUCUGUUUUCUGACCUUCGAUGACUUGACUCUCAAGUGAACAACUAAGCUGUAUGUGACAUAAGACUUCAGGAUGCAUGAGAUUGAAACCAUCUUCAAACAAUGGUUGAAUCACUUGACAGUGCGGUUUGCGACUCAAUGCAUCUGCUACCACAUUAGCCUUGCCUGGAUGAUAGUGAACCUCCAGAUCAUAAUCCUUGAUCAGGUCCAACCAUCUUCGUUGCCUCAUAUUCAGCUCAGACUGAGUGAAGAUGUAUUUUAGACUUUUAUGAUCGGUGUAGAUAUGACACUUAUUUCCCAGCAAAUAGUGCCUCCAGAUCUUCAAAGCGUGCACUACUGCUGCUAACUCGAGGUCGUGAGUUGGGUAGUUGACUUCGUGCUUUCUCAACUAUCGUGAAGCGUAAGCUAUUACUUUGCCAUCUUGCAUUAGCACACAUCCUAAUCCACUUUUUGAUGCGUCGCAAAACACAUCAAAAGGCUUCUCGAUAUUGGGUUGCGCUAGAACGGGAGCGGUGGCUAGCAACUUUUGCAAGGUGCGGAAGGCUAGUUCACACCCUUCCGUCCAGACAAACUUAUGAUCCUUUUGUAGCAAACUGGUAAUUGGCUUAGCAAUUUUGGAAAAGUUGGGUAUGAAACGACGAUAAUACCCGGCCAGACCAAGAAAACUUUGAAUUUCCGAGACAGAAGUUGGUGCCUUCCAGUCCAUGACUUCCUGUACUUUUGACGGAUCCACAACAAUCCCUUCUUCAGACAGAAUGUGCCCUAGGAAAGGAACUUUCUUCAACCAAAACUCACACUUGCUGAACUUCGCAUAUAACUGAUGCUCUCGCAGUCGUGUUAGCACGACUCUCUCAGAUGCUCGGCGUGAUCUUGUUCAUUUUCUGAAUAAACCAGAAUGUCGUCGAUGAACACCACAACAAACUUGUCCAGCUCUGGCAUAAAGACCGAAUUCAUCAGAUACAUGAAGUAUGCAGGAGCAUUUGUCAACCCGAAGGACAUGACAAGAUACUCGUACAACCCAUAUCUGGUGGAAAAAGCAGUCUUUGGGAUAUCUUGCGGACGGAUCUUGAUUUGGUGAUAUCCAGACCUCAAAUCUAUCUUGGAAAACACUUUUGCCUUGGACAACUGAUCAAACAAGAUAUCAAUCCUUGGCAAAGGAUACUUAUUUUUGAUCGUCACCGCAUUGAGUGGACGAUAGUCCACGCACAUGCGCAGCGAUUGAUCCUUCUUUUUUACAAAUAACGCUGGACAACCCCACUCCAACGAACUUGGCCGGAUGAACCCUUUAUCCAGUAACUCCUUUAGUUGAUUCUUCAACUCAGUGAGUUCAUUAGGCGGCAUCCGGUACGGCCUUCUAGAUAUCGGUGCGGUACCUGGUAUCAACUCGAUUGCAAACUCUACUUCCCUAUAUGGGCGAAGUCCCGGCAAAUCUUCAGGAAAGACAUCAGGGAACUCACAUACCACUGGUAUAUGUUCUAGUGGAACCACCUGUAUUGCACACGAAAGACUAGCGAAGUCUAACCGUCGAGGUAGCUUGACCUGAAGCACACCCUCCCCCUGUGGUUCCUUGAGGGAAAGAGUUCUAUUUCCGGCAUCUAUAACUGCACCCCAGUCGGUCAUCUUAUUCAUUGCAAUGAUAACAUCCAGAACCAGCCCUGGCAUGACCACAAGGUUUACACGAAACCUUCGGCCACUGAUAUCCAAGGUAACCCCUGUUGCUGUUUUGUUAGUCAACACAUCAGCCCCUGCUAAGCUGAAGCGAUAGCCAUAACCCAACUCAAUAACUGGCUGGUCAUGCUUUUGUGCAAAUGCUUGACUCAUGAAUGAAUGCGAGGAUCCAGAAUCAAACAAAAUAACUACAAGAUGUUGGUUGACAGGAAACAUACCAGCUGUAACCGGUUCUCCUUUCGGAAUUUCCUCUAUCGAGGUAUGGUGCACUCGAGCUGGGUAGGUCGUCUGUUGCCUCUUAGGGUAGGGACAUUCCUUAGCAAAGUGCCCCAUCUUGUGGCAGUUGUAGCAUGGACCCUUGGUCAUGUUGUUGGCGGCAGGUGCUGUAGCUUGAAUUGCUUUUGGCUUGGCAGGAGCUAUUGCCACCUUGUAUGGCUUAUGCUGCGUUGGAUGCCCGGUGUUCCUUCUCUGCAGCGGUCGGAACCUAGCACCCGGGGUAGGAGGAUGAUACUACUGUCGCCCUGCCACUGGUGCCCUAGACUGAGACGACCCGGCUUCAAAAGCCCUCUUACGAGACUUGGAUGCACUAUAGUUGUUGUUAUUGUUCUCCUGGGUCAGACAGUCACUGAUGUAAGCAUUGAACGUGGCCCGGGUUCCUAUACCCAUGGUCUUCAGCAUCUUUGGGCUCAAACCUCUUUGGAAACUAGCGAUCUUCUUGGCCUCCGUGUUCACAAACUCCGGAGCGUAGCGAGCAAGAUUGUUGAAAGUGUGUAGAUACUCCUUCACAGACUUUGUUCCCCGAGACAACCUCAUGAACUCCCCAACCUUCAUCUCCACCACACCCGGAGGAAUGUAAUUUCCCCAGAAAGCGGUGGUGAAGCGGUUUCAGGUGAUUGGGGUCCCCUCUGGGUAAGUGGUACGAUGAUGGGACCACCAAAUCCCCGUAGGUCCCUGCAACUGAUGUGCCGCGUACUCAGCCUUAAGUUCUUCUAUCAUCCGAAGAAGACAGCACUUUUGCUCCAUGGUGUUGAUCCACUCAUCUGCCUUGAGCGGUUCCAAGGCCUCCUUGAAGACUGGUGGCUUGGUAUCCAUGAAGUCCUUGAAAGAGCUGUACUGAUUGGCUUCACGGCCGCCCUGGUUAUCCCCACGGUGGGUAUUGUCAGCGAUAUUGCGCAGAGCUUCUUCCAUGUUGCGCCGCAUCUGUUCCAUGUUGCGUUGGCUCCCCAGAAACUGCGCGAAGAACACGUGCGCAGUGUACGGAGGAGGCGGUGGUGGUGGCGGUGAUGGUGCUCUUUCCUCAUUCCUUCGAGCCCCACCUCCGGAAGUACCUGCUCCAAGAUCGGCGUUGCUGUUACCCCCACCACGUGUUUACACCAUCUGCAUGCGUCAAUGACAAGCAAUCGUUAGGAGUUGCCAUCAACGGUAGACAUGUGUAGAAUUAUGCCGUACUGAAUUUACUGAGGAAAUAAAUUCGCACAAUAAACAGAGGCACAACAAUUCAUCAUCCACGCACAACAUCACUAACAGAUUACUUAAUAUUCAAGCAACAAGGUUCCCAUACAUCCAAAAUUGCCAGCAUACAUACACUGGACUUUCAGCGUCAUCACAUAAAGUUUUUACACAGCCCCGAUCCAAAAGUACAAGACAUGCCAUGCAACAACAACAUCAAAAGAAAGACUAGCUCUAGAGCCCUAGCAUCUACUCGCUAUGGUCACUGUCCAUGCCGGAGCCCUCCUCGCCCUCAUCUCCACUAGCAGCUGCCGCUAUCUCUGGAUCCUCAUCCAUCUCAUCCACAGAGUCUAACUCAGCUGCUCCAGGUAGGUGGUGAGGGUGGAGCUGGUUAUGCAGCUGGUGGAUCUCCUCAUGCAGGUUCUCAUUAUACUCCUCACCAUUAGCUAGCUGCUGCUCAAGCUCUAGCUGUCGGGCCCUCAGGGUGUCCUCCUCGUGCCAGGCUUCAUUCCUGUGACCAAGCACAUGAACUAGCAUGCGCUCGUAGUUCCUGUGAGCAGUAGUCACCCUGUCCCUCUACUCUCUAGCUGCAAGCAGGUCCUGACUCAGCUCACUGUUAUUCUGGACCGCCUGAUCCCUCUCUCGGGUCACGUGGGCCAACUCUGCCUGCAACCUCUCAACCUCAGUGUCGAACUCACGCCGCAGCUGGCGCUUCUCAUCCUAGACUCUGAGAAGAGACCCGGACAAGCGUCUCCAAACAACGCUCCAGGCCCCCAUAGGUCUUCAUCAAAGCGUACAUAGCACUCAUAGCUGCGCUGUCACUGUGCUGGUCCUCAUCCGCACUCCUCUCUAGAGCGUUCACCUCGGACUGAUCCCACACCGAAGUGUAGGGGUCACCCCGGGGAAACACCCCAGCGAAGGCGUGGGCCAGCUCUUGUGGAAACCUCUCCAUGAGGUCCCUCAGAACUGCAAAAGCAGCCCUGCUGGCACCGUGGAAAGGCGUGGCACCUCAGUACUCGUACACCCAGCCACCCAGGCGGGGCCACCUCCACUGGUAGGGACCACUGCCUCGAUCCCCACCAGGGUCCCGUCACCAAGCUGCUCCUUGUCCCAGUAAUAGCGAGGUUCCCUUCCUUCGGGAUACCACAUCGAACUGAGCACCCUCCAAAGCAAGGUGGGCAUCCCAAACUCCUCCAGGAACUUGCUCUUAUGACUCGAGCUCCUGGCUGCCAACUGAUGGCGAGGGGCCCGCCCACCAGUGGACUUGCGAGCGGUGAGCCUAGUGCGUGCCAUCUGCUGCAAAUGGAAUACCUUGGGUAAGAUUGAGGAUUAUCUUUAAUUAUCUUAUUUAGAAUUGGGACAGAUUAAAUUAAGGGAAGAAGUAAGCAAUGACAUGAAAUGAACAUGAUGCAUGCACAGACUUACGAUCUCACAAACUUAGAAAACAAAAGUUAACACUAAUCGGUAUAUGCGGUGGCACACAGCGUUCUCUCAUAACAUAACUAGCAUUCUAAGCGGGAACGUGGUUAGUGUACCUGCAGAAAACUCAUUUUAGCCCAACCACAGUACGAUCAUGUAGAACAAGAAUUUAAAGAUAUACACCCCACACACAUAGACACCCCGUCCAUGCAUAUGACGUGUUGCUACCCCCAUCAUCGCCCUAGUGACGGCAUCGCCUCUUAGGACGGAAUCUCCCAACAUGCGGUACUGUUCCCAAACACACCAAACAUGUGUGCAUGACACAGCACCUAACAACACUCCCCUAGAUCGGCAGUGUAUCCGAUCAUGCUCUCACAGCUCCCACUUACCGAGGCGUAGAGGAAGAAUUGAUCCAUACAUUACCACUCAAGUGAAUGGUACUCAUACUAUUGCACGCCGUAUGAGCGACGAAAUAGAAAUAUGAUGCAUUAACCCCCAAGUCAGUACUUAACUAGCCACCUUAGAGUCCUUAACUGGGCAUAAAGGAUAUGACCAUGGCACACUAGAUAGUUUUCCAAAAACUUAGUUUGACACCUUGAUUAUCAUUAAUUGAUAAAAAUCUUUUAUUAAACCGGUUUAAGUUUAGUUUAGAAUGUACUUAUGAACAGUAACUUGCUAAACCUUGCUCCGAUGAUAGCUGCAACAGUACCGCCCAAAUUAUAAGAGAUUAAGCCUAAUAGCGACCAUUUGCAUAGUCAAACCAUCGAGCUUAAGCCCAUAUAAUCCCGGUAGUCCGUGAUAUCUCGAAGGAUUUCAAACCACAUAUCGUACAUACAGCCAAGAUCGUAAUAAGUUUAGCGGUCACCAUCCACAUUUACAUCCAGUUCAUAAACAUUCAUCAAAUACAUCGGAGUGCUUAAAGUUUUUACAAACCAAGUUCUCAAGUAGCGGAAGCUUCAUAGUUUGAAAGUACACACACACAAGUUCAGUUGAUACAGUGCCCUAGUUUGGUCAUUCCCACAAAAGCACAAGAGAAGACAGAGUGACCAACGCCCUUGGUCUAGUCAUCGCCCAUAGCUGGGUACAAGCAGAGGAUGCAAUAACCAUAGUACAUUUGACCAUCUGCAAAACAACAUGGGAGUAGAACCUUGAGUACGAGAAUGUACUCAGCUAGACUUACCCGUCAUAAACCAAAAAUAAAGACUCUUCAAGGAUCAUGAAGGCUAUAUAGUGGGGUGGCUGAGACUUUUGCAUAAAAGCAUUGUUCCACUAAACAUAGUAAAAAAAACCUUUCUUCUUUUAAUUAGCUCAAGUUCAAUAUUAUCAUUACCUAUUAUCUAGGUUUGCACCUGUACUAUUACAAGCAAGUGUAGUAAUAUGAUGGUACCUCUUCAUAGCAUUCAUGAAACCAUUUAUCAUUAUAACCCAAGUGUUCCAUAGUCCUUACUAUGAGGACAGGGCUCAUGUCAAGUGCUCACUAUCUAGGAGCGAUGGCGAUUCGAAUCGAUUUCUAACCAGCUGGCGAGUUAUUCCCCACACAAACCACACCCACUGAUCAAGUGAGCUACAGAUCACCGUGUUGCACUAUCCAGGACCAAUUUGCGGGUUUGACAGGCACCGCCCGUACCCGAGGACCGUUCCGGCGACCGAGGUAUCUAAGGUAUACCAAGGUUGCGCGCAGCGCCCUCGUCGUUCUCCUCAACUAUCACCAAUACAGCGCGUACAUCGGGCCGACUCCCGGCCCGGAUAGUGCUCAGGCUUCGCGGUCGGAACGACAUAUCCUUCUAGCUAAGUGUGGGGCAUUCGUUCAACAUGACAAGAGGGCCGUCAACGAUCGGUCCUUAAUCGACACAGGCAGGAGCACUACAGUCAACCCACUGUUGAUAUUUGGUAACGCAAUCAGGAAAUGAUCCGCAAGCGCACGGAUAUCGGUGAGCAUUUCACCCGGGAGGUUUUCCAGAGUAUCGUAUUUAUAUUUUUACCACUGGGAGAAAGGGUGCAUCUGACUAACCAAAUCUAUUGCUACUAUCCCUUUAGGCUACAAAGAAUGUUUCUCGAUGUGAGUGAUGUAUAGAGAAGACUGCAACCAUAGUCUCGUUCUAACCUUGGUAAGGAUGAUCUACUGUUCUAUUGGGGAAGCUUACGGAAUCUAGACACCACAAAGGAUGUUCGACCCGCACCUAUAAACCCUACCCUUCCUGCUUACGAGAUAUGGGAUACAAAGGUAACUCGGAAAUGUCACGUUCCUCGCUACUACCACGGUCCAGCUAGUCAGGGGAUAUCUAUGAGUACCCUAGCCUAAACACCACGUUUACGCUAGCAAUAAUUACUCUAAUACUCAACCGAAAGAGAUUAAAGUAAACUCAUAAACCAAAGAACAAUAAAACAAGAACUCACAUAGAGCCCAAUCAGGACUCUCUUUUGGGAUAUUGCUCCACCGACCUAAAGGAUCAAGGAUAACCGUUCAAUCAAUGUCGGUUUGAUCCAACGGCCCAGAUUCAUCUGAAAAGACUAUAUAAGCAAGGCCCCUGGCCCGUGGAGAUCAUACCUCUUCUACAGAAUCAAAGCUAGGGUUUCAAUUCUUCAUCCAAGUAGAGAGGAUCCCUCUAGUUCUUCUAGUUCUACCUCUAGUUCAUCUAGAUCUAGUUCUAGUUCAUCUAGUUCUAGUUCUAGUUCCUCAAGUUCUAGUUCUAGUUGUAAUCUAGAAAAUAGGGAGAGAGAAGAGGAGAGCGGAGGAGGAGCCAGAUCUGUCGGAUCUUCCUCAACAUUAUACUUUUGCAGCAACUGGUUCGUUCUUCAUCGUUCUCCAAGUUCUUCAUUUCAUAAUUCCUGAGUUCUUUAAUUACUUUUAUUUACAUUCAAGUUAUUUAUUGGAUUCCCGCUUGCAUCAAGUGCUCUAAUCUUUGAAACAUUAGAGUAGUAAUUAAUAGAUUAGACGUGGUGUUUAGUCUUGCAAUUACCUGGAAUUGCACCCAAUCCUGCGGAUUGUUGUGGUAGCCUUAGCGUAGUGACAGCCCUAACGGUCGACGUAUUCCACCACGUUCGGAUCGGUGUUUGUAGGACCGUAGUCAGACCUUCCUAGCCCCCUUCUCAUCUCUUUCUGUGGUUAGUGCUCUGAUGUCCCGAUAUAGAUAAUCUUGAAGUAAAUCUUGAUUCUUAGAUCAACUAGAGAACUCUCAGGAAACUUCCUCUCUUCCCACCAAAAAUAAUCAUAUAGUUAUCCUUGGGCGAUCUUGAUUCUUAAUUAGUACACUCACGUUCCCUGUGAAAAAUCGAUACUCUGGAAUACUCCCGGGUGAAAGCUACAUUAGUAUCCGUGCGCUUGUGGAUUUUUCUGUUUGCAUUUAAAAUACCCAACAUGCGUACAAGGUACCAACUCGGACACAGAGGUUCUUCAAUAUUUCCUUUGGGAAACUAAGUGUCCGAUAUCCAUUGUGUUUGUGCUCGUAGAUCUCGGUUCUUCACUUGGUGGAAUCUGGGAGUUGUAAAACUCCUCCAUGUUUUGCUUGAAGUGUACCUGUUCAUAGAGAUAAGGCAGAGAUCAAGUGCAUGGGCCCUGUUGGUGGAAAACACCAACAGAACCAAAAGUGUAUUUGUUCUUCUCUAACCUUAAGCAUAGUGAGCAAGACAAAGUUGAUAGGAUCAUGAGUGUAGCAUUUGAAACAUUUGUUGGAUCAUAAGGCUCAACCUAAUGGAAAGAUAAUCUAUCUAUAUUUAUGUUUUGUUUAUAUCUUCCAAAGAUUGAAUGUGCAACAUAUUAGCUUAUAUGAUUAGGAGUGUGGGAUCACGAAGGUAGUACUAAGAACAAAGAUUAAAGGACUAAACAUGUUGAAUUAAUUGGGUUGGUUAAUUUGGAGCUACAAAUCAUACAUGUUUGUCUCUUUUAUUCAUGUGUAUGCUAGCACCAAGGAGAAGCUUAUAAAAGUGAUAGUCAAGUACCUUAAGAUGUUACCUUAAUUGAAGAGUGAUGGUACAGUAUCACCUUGUGGAAGGUUUCCUUUCUUAGCGGUUGUGCAUCGUGUUUGUGGCACUCUUUGUCUCGUUCCAUGGAUCAUCUCUCUAUGAUGAAUGAUCUUUGUCUUCCUUGUGCAAAUCAUUAAACUUCAUGUGUCUCCUUUGUCUCCAAUGUGAGUUUGUAUCUCAGGACUUCCCAGGUUGAUAUUGAAAGUUUUCCUGCAGGGGUUAGUCCGACAAAAUAUACCAAUGCCUACUCAAGCAGUUUUUAGUUCAGUAUCCAAACUAGACUCCAUGUCUAAUCAGAUUAAGGAAGGCUAUUUAACCUAAGCACCACGCUUAAUUUAAAAGCCAAUAGAAGUAUGUGCAGUACUUCUAAACCAACACUUACUAAAAUAAACAAAGGUAGCAUGAUGGCUUUUAUAGAGAUCUACUCAAGCAGAGAUGAGGUAGUGUGACUAGUAUUUAACAAAUCAAGCAUGUCUCAAAGGUAGCGACAACCAACAGAGCAACUUGGCAAAAGAUGUUUUCAUGUGAAGUACCCCCCAAGCUUGAAUUUUGCAAAAUUCAAGAUUGGAUGAAUUUAAUUCAAUGUUGCAUGAUGAUUGGUCGGACAUACCUUGUGCUUGUCAUUCAUCCGAUCUUCUUGCUCCAAUCCUGAAAAGGUUAGUGACAAGAAUACCCGAAGGAAUAUUUCUACAAUUAUCUUUAUAUGCUCAAUACAAGGCAACGUUGCAAAUAAUUAAAAGUUCAUGUUACGAUCUGAUAAGUGCUUGUUUUAGGACACUAAGCUUGUCCUUGGGAACCAUCAAUUAACUCAACGAGAUCUGCAAUAUUUAUUAUAGACAUAUGCAUCGACAACCGCCCUUUUAAAGUUUUUAUAAAUAGAAAAGAAGAGGGGGUUGGAGAUCUCAAAUGUGAUAAGGAUGGAGAGACCAAUUGAUUGGAGAGAUGUUUUAUAUGAGCAAGGACUGGGUGAGGUAUUUAUGAAAUAACUUCCAUGCUCACUGUUGUUUCUCUCAUUCUCAAACUCCAAGGAUGAUUCUUCAUGAAUGCUUAAAAUUCCUCUAGGAUUGUCUCUCAAGUUUGUUUUAUCUAUCCAUUCAAUGGUGAUGGCACAUGGAUUUUUAAUGCACUCUAGCCAUUGAUGUUGCUCUUCUUGAUCCUCCUUGUGGUCUUGGUGACUCUUAUGAAUGGGAUGUCUAGAGAGAUUCAUAGGAUCAUCAGGAGGUUCAAGAGAAAAAGCGUAGUAGAAAUUAUUACGCUCAAGGAUGGGAAGGAUGUCCACAAAUGAAGACAUACCUUCCUUUACUAAUAGAUAAAGAAAGAAAGACUCUACCAAAGUUUAUAUGAUUAAGACCAAUGUGAAAAUAUCGAGAAAAAGACAUGGUUUUGUAGGGCUAGGUUUAAACUAGAAUUUAUAGAAAAAUUAAGAGAUUCCCUAGGUGUAGCUAAAAGUUCAUUAUCUUGUUGAUUAAAAGAUAGGACCUCAGCUAUAGAAAAGGGUUGGUUUUGACCUAUUGCGAUCAACUCCGGACACAGAUCAUAAUUAGGGGCAGGACUUGUUGACUCCCAUGGUCUAUGGCUGGUCUCCGAAGGUGCAAAUAAUUCAAUAAUAGGUAUGGAAUUUGAGUUAUCCAUAAAGAUGAAAAUAAAAAGAUAAAAGAAUAAAAGUAUAAUACAAGAUAAUAGCAAGACUUAAAGUUAUCUCAGCAAACCAUCUUUCUCCCCGGCAACGGCGCCAGAAAUGCUUGUGGAUAUUUGGUAACGCAAUCAGGAAAUGAUCUGCAAGCGCACGGAUAUCGGUGAGCAUUUCACCCGAGAGGUUUUCCAGAGUAUCGUAUUUAUAUUUUUACCACUGGGAGAAAGGGUGCAUCUGACUAACCAAAUCUAUUGCUACUAUCCCUUUAGGCUACAAAGAAUGUUUCUUGAUGUGAGUGAUGUAUUGAGAAGACUGCAACCGUAGUCUCGUUCUAACCUUGGUAAGGAUGAUCUACUGUUCUAUUGGGGAAGCUUACAGAAUCUAGACACCACAAAGGAUGUUCGACCCGCACCUAUAAGCCCUACCCUUCCUGCUAACAGGAUAUGGGAUACAAAGGUAACUCGGAAAUGUCACGUUCCUCGCUACUACCACGGUCCAGCUAGUCAGGGGAUAUCUAUGAGUACCCUAGCCUAAACACCAUGUUUACGCUAGCAAUGAUAACUCUAAUACUCAACCGGAAGAGAUUAAAGUAAACUCAUAAACCAAAGAACAAUAAAACAAGAACUUACUAGAAUUAGAUGUCGAAUUACUGAAGAAUCCUAGGAGCAAGCCUCGGGUUAGAAGACUUGAUCCCGCAGAUACAACCUUGGAGUAGACACCGACAGGCCGGGCUUCCUCCGAUCUACACCUCCACUCUAUAUCUCUCAAUCUAGUAGAAACUAGAAGAUCUAAUUCUACUCACAUUGGAUGCUAAGCCUAAAAUAAAUAUUUAUUUAGAGGAGAGGUAUUCCUUCGAGGGCUCCUCUCAACUCUAUGAUGAACUUUUCUCCUCCAGGGGCCAGGGGGUCUGGUUUUAUAGUCCCCUCAAGUGAACCUGGGCUGUCAGAUCAAACCGACAUUGAUUGGACGGUUAUCCUUGAUCCUUUUGGUCGGUGGAGAGUAAUCCCCGAAGAGAGUCCUGUUUGGACUCUAAGUCAGGGCAGGCGCCCAAGAAAGGAGGGCGGGCGCCCUGCCUCUGGGCCCGUUCGGCCUCCGCUUCCUUCCCGUGGCUUCUGGAGUCUUCUAGAUGAUAGAAAAUUGCACGACAUGUUAAUAUCUCUUUGUAAACCCGACAUGUGGGCCUUUCUUCCAUAUUUCCUGAUAACCCCCUGCAGAAAUAGACAAACACCAAAACUCAUGGAAUUCUAUCAGAUAAAACCCUAAGUCUGGGUGUUGGUUGCAUUUGGAUCCUUUUCUUUAUUUAUUUGAUGAUUAUAUUUGGUACUUAAGGACCGUCAACACCCACCAUAAGACCCUGCUGGGUCUCAAAUUCCAUUCCACACUUGGUUAUCCUUCCCCAAAGCAAUCACCGCUAAUCAAGCAGGUAUCCACCUAUAUCUCGCAGGUGACAGGAAAUCACGCGACUUCUACCGGACUAAGCAAGCUAAGCAUAGACUCCGUGCCUAUCUACAUAGAACAAGGUAGGUUCACAAGUGGUGAUAUCAAGGAGUACCGAUGCAUCAACGGUAUCAAGCAAUUCCUAUCACUUAAAUGCAACAUAGUAAAACAAGCAUAAUAUAUCAUUUAUGUUAGCGAGAAUAGGGAGGCUUAGAAUGCUCCGGGGCUUGCCUUUCUCAAACGUGCUCGGCUUGUGAUCCGGGCACUCUUGCAGCUCUUCUCCGGGCUCGGACACUCCCAGAGGUUACUGCUCCUGUGCUUCCUCCUGCUCCUCAGGUCCCACCUCGUUCUCCUACGAGCCUGUAUGAUGCAUGGGUGCUCAUGAGUGGAGUGCGAGAUGCCCGGGGUGCAAUGCUCAUAUGAGAGGAUACCAAAUGACCAUGACAUGAUUCAUAGAUGAUUUAGGUGGUUAUUUUUACAAGGUAGUCAACAUCAUCCAAGAGCAUGCAAUUACAUUAAGCAUCUAUUUCCUUCUCUUCUACAAAUUGUUCUCAAGUGUAACCAGCAAACUCACAUGGUGCUUCAAAGAUACACCAAACCCCUUUUAUUUUACUUAACUUAUGUAUAACAAUUCAUAAUUUCUUUAUCCAGUUUUAGGCCUACACAAGUAGCACAUAUUUCUGUUUAUCAAUAAAUUCCAAAAAAACUACAGUAGACUACCAGUCAAACAUAAAGUCUACCAUAAUUUUUUUUCAGAAUAUUUGGACACUCAUUUUGAGCUACAAAAAUCACAAGAUUAAUUCACAAAAGCAAGUGUAAAUACUCUACUGUGAUAUAAGUGUCAAACAGCAGAUUUCAUAUUUUUAUAAUUCGCUUAUUAUCAUAAGAAACACCCACAAAAAUUUCCAGGUUAAUUGCAUGAUCCAAUUAUUUAUUAAAAAACAUAAACCACUGCCAUGCAAGCAUUUAAAUCACCAUAAAUUCAUUCAUACAGCAAAUAAUGUGUAACAAAAUUUUCCCAGUGACUAAACAUCCAUGCAGAGCCAACAAAACAAGUUUCAUAUUUUUUUGAGCUAUAUUUUAAUUACUAUGCAUUUUCGAAUUCUAGCAAAAACAUGGAUUAAAUAUUUUUGUACAAAAAAGUUGUUCAAACAUGACAUGCAACCACAUCAAACUACAGAUCUGGGAAUAUAGAGUUCAUCAAACUUUAUUUCACAAAUUUUUGAGCUGUAGAACUCAAGAUAUGGAUUUUACAAAAUUUAAACAAUUUCUGGAAAAUCUUUAUUUAAGAAAACCGACGGAAAACGUUAGAUUCACCUAGAUCCACACCCGCAGAGGCACUGACAGGUGGGAUCCAGGGGUCGUGGCCCCACAGGUCAGCCAUGCAGAGCUCCGGCCAACUUCGGCCGGCCGGCUCUCGCCGACGGCGAGGUCUCCGGUGGCGCGGAGGGCACCUACGGGUUCGUCUCAUCAAGGCGAACAUGUUGAGCUAGAUCUCAUCGACGGAGGAGGUCCCUAGCGGCAGCUAUGGCGCACGGCGGAGCUCGGUGGCGCUGCUCACCGGCGUCCGGCCGUCUCCGGCCGAUAGAGCGCGAACGGAGGGGUGCUUAGGGUUCGCGGGAGCACGGCGACCACAACGUGCGAACAAACGAAGAGAAAAGGGGCCAGGAAGGGGGAGAUUCGCGAGGAUCGAGAGCUCGCCGGAGCUCCGGCCAUGUCGCGGUGGUGAAAUCUCACCUAAUACCUGGACGCUGUCGGCCGGGAGUGUGCGCACGAGGUUGCGCUCGUCGAGGCGGAGCUAGGGGCGGGUUUAAUCGGGCGCGGGUGACCGGAGUUGAGCGCUGGGCUUCGGCGCCAAUGGCGCACGGCAGAGCACCGCUACGGCUGCCGCUGCGCUCGCGCGGGGAGGAAGAAGAGAGGGAGGAGCGAGCGACAGAGUGGAGCGGCGUCCCGACCAGGUGUAGGCGGGCCGGCCGCGGCGCGUCCAACGCCGGCGUACGGCCGCCACGUGGCCGGCGCCGGGUGGAGCGAGGCGGGCGCCGCGCGUCGGAGAGAGAGGGGAGGGGAAGCGGGCCGCGCUGCCUGGCUGGGCCGAAAGGGAGGCGGGUCGGCCCAGCAACGUCUGUCCCCUUUCCCUUUUUUUUGAAUUUCUUUUGUCAAAUUCUUUCUAAAUUCAUUUGGACUGUUUAAAAAUCACUUUUACCUUUUUCUCCCAAAAUAAAAGUUGUUCCAAAACAAAAACCCUACAACUUUGUUUUAAUAAGCAAAGCCAAAUUCCAAAUAGAAUUUGAAUCACAGAUUAAAACUAGUUCUAGGUUUUUAAAUAAAUUCAUUUUAGAGAUUUUUGUAUAAAUUCCAUUUCUCAAAUCCUAUGGCUCCAAAAAUUUCACAAAAAAUACUGUUAAACCUUUUAGCACACAAUUCAACCUAAUUUGAAUAUUUCACAAUUUUAGAAGCAAGCAUAAUAUUUUUAACACAUUUAAUUCACCUAAAUAAAGCACACAUAAAAUCACACUUGAAUUAUUUUUAUGCUCAUGGGAUGUGAUGCUUAUGCCAUGCUUGAUGAGAAUGCUUAUGAAUGUUUUAUGAGACUAAGUGCAUGCUUAACACCUAGGGUGUUACAUCCCCCAAGCUGGAUGUUGACAUAGUCGUUCACUCUUGUGGCCUGCAUAUUCGGUCUCACUCUUCUUAAGCCUCAAAAUCCUGCACAACCCAAAUAGACAACAAAACUCGUGGAGCAUGUUAAGGGUUAGGUAAUUGUCUAUAGCUUAUGAGAGCUUAAUGUGAGAAUUCUAUGAACUCAAUCACAUCAAGUUCCUCUACCAGGUUGUUUUGUGGCUCGAGAUAGAUUUUCAAGCGUUGACCAUUUACCUUAAAAGUGUUACCUAUGUCGUCUUAGAUGGUAAUGGCUCCAUGAGUUGAAGUGUCAAUAACCAUGUAUGGUCCAUCCCACUUACUUCGUAGCUUACCAUGCCCAAAGAGCUUAACUCUUGAAUUGAAUAGUAGAACCUUAUCUCCAGGCUUAAACUCUUUGUGCUUGAUUCUCUUAUCAUGCCAUCGUUUUGUUCUCUCUUUAUAGAUCCUUGAAUUGUGGUAAGCUUUCUCUCUCCAUUCUUCUAGCUCAGAUAGUUGCAUCAGACGAUUCUCGCUAGCGAGGUAGAGAUCCAUGUUCCAUUUCUUGAGUGCCCAAUGAGCCUUAAACUCUACUUCCACAGGCAAAUGUCAAGUUUUUCCAUACACAAGUUGAUAAGGUGACAUGCCUAUGGGUGUUUUGAAUGCAGUUCUAUAUGCCCAAAGUGCAUUAGGAAGUUUGUCCUUACAACCCUUACCUAUCUCAUCUACGGUCUUUUGUAAAAUAUUUUUUAUUUUGUUAGAUGUUUCAGCUUGACCGCUAGUCUGAGGAUGGCAUGGUGUCGCGAUGUUGUGUCGAACUCCAUGAUCGGCUAGAUACUUCCGGAAGAUUUUGUCGAUGAAGUCGGAACCUCCAUCGCUUAUAACUAUCCGGGGUAUACCAAAGCGAGGAAAGAUUACUUCAUGGAACAUUCUCUUGACAUGUUUUGAAUCAGCUGAUCGACAAGGUAGGGCUUCUACCCAUUUGGACACGUAGUCCACAACUACUAAGAUAUACUCGCAAUUCCCAGACAUAGGGAAUGGCCCCAUGAAAUCAAUGCCCCAUACAUCAAAAAGUUCUACUUGAAGAUUAUUUGUGAGAGGCAUUUCAUUUCAUGAGUUGAUAUUCCCAUGUUUUUGACAUCAGUGGCAUCUCCUGACAAAGUCCUUUGUAUCUUCAUACAUCGUUGGCCAGAAAAAGCCACUUUGCCAAAUUUUAGCAUGUGUCCGGAAUGCUCCAUAGUGUCCUCCAUAUGGCGAGGCAUGGCAUCUUUCCAUAAUUUGAGUAGCCUCAGCCAUAGGAACACACCUUCUCAAGAGUCCAUCAGCGCAGACUCGGAAAAGAUAUGGCUCAUCCCAAAGGUGGAUACGACUAUCGUGAAGCAACUUCCUUUUGUUUGUACCAGGUGGGACAUAGCCUUUUACUAUAAAGUUUAUGAUGUCUGCGUACCAUGGAUCUGCAUGUGUUAUCUUAAGCAGGGUGUCAUCCCAUAGGUAAUCAUUUAUGGGAAGCUCAUCAUGUGUUUCCUUAUAUUGAAGCCUAGACAAGUGGUCGGCUACAGAAUUCUCAACUCCCUUCCUAUCUCGGAUUUCUAUGUCAAAGUCUUGGAGUAGAAGAAUCCAUCGAAUUAGACGAGGCUUAGCAUCUUUCUUACUGAGGAGGUACUUGAGAGCAACAUGGUCUAAAUAGAUGAUUAUCUUUGUCCCACUAAGUAAGAUCUAAACUUGUCUGUAGCAAAGACAACAGCCAAAAGCUCUUUUUCAGUUGUAGUGUAAUUGAGCUAUGGUCCAGACAAGGUUUUGCUAGCAUAGGAUAUGGCAUAAUGCUUUUAAUCCUUGGUUUGUCCUAAAACGGCACCAACCGCAAAAUCGCUAGCAUCACACAUGAUCUCAAAAGGAAGAUUCCAAUCAGGUGGUUGGAUAAUCGGGGCUGAGAUGAGUGCUUUCUUAAGAGUUUGAAAAGAUUCAUGACACUCAUCACUAAAGAUGAAAGGUGCAUCCUUAGCUAGGAGACUAGUUAGGGCUCUAGCAAUUUGAGAGAAGUUCUUGAUAAAGCGUCUAUAGAACCCUGCAUGUCCCAAAAAGCCACGGAUUCCUUUCACAUUCGUGGGAGGUGGAAGUUUUUCAAUAACUUAAAUCUUUGCUUUGUCCACCUCUAUACCACGUUCGGACACUUUAUGUCCUAGCACUAUUCCUUCUUGAACCAUAAAAUGGCAUUUCUCCCAGUUUAGGAUUAAGUGCUUUUCUUCACAUCGCUGCAAGAAUCUAUCUAAAUUCUCCAAACAAUGAUCGAAGGUUUUGCCAUAGACGAUAAAAUCAUCCAUGAAAACCUCCAUGAUCUUCUCAAUCAUGUCUGAGAAAAUAGACAUCAUGCACCGUUGGAAAGAAGCUGGAGCAUUGCACAAUCCGAACGACAUUCGUCGGUAUGCAUAAGUUCCACACGGGCAUGUAAAGGUAGUCUUUUCUUGGUCAUCUGGGUGGUUUGGGAUUUGGUGAUAUCCAGAAUAACCAUCAAGGAAACAGAAGAAAGAGUGGUUUGCAAGCCGUUCCAACAUUUCAUCAAUGAAGGGUAACGAAAAGUCAUCUUUCUUUGUAGCCUUGUUGAGUUUUCGAUAGUCAAUACACAUACACCACCCAGUGACAAUUUGUUGAGGGAUGAGUUCAUUCUUCUCAUUCCUAACGGCCGUCAUUCCUCCUUUCUUUGGCACUACUUGGACAGGGCUAACCCACUCACUAUGUGGCACAGGAUAAAUAAUCCCAGCAUGAUAGAGUUUGAGGACCUCUUUCUUAACAACCUAUCGCAUAGCAUUGUUAAGUCUCCAUUGUGGUUCCCUUGAAGGUGUAAAAUUGGGAUCAAUAGGGAUACAAUGAGUGCAGAGAAUGGGACUAAUGCCCGUGAGAUCUUCGAGAGAGUAGCCAAAUGCUGACCUAUGCCUUUCAAGAACGGUGACAAGUUGUUGUGUUUUAUAAUCGAAAAGCUUGUCACUGAUAAUUACUGGAGUUUUUGGGUUGUUGUGCAAAAAGACAGAUCUAAGUCCAGAAGGAAGAGGUUUUAACUCUAUCGAAGGAGGUGAAGGUUGUUCAUUUUUGUCUAGCUCAAUGGGUUGUACCAACUCUUCUUCUUCUUGAACAAAGUGUUCAUGAUUAAAGAAUGGUUGGGCCAUCUCCUCUUGAGUCAGCAUUAAGAUCUCCUCAAUAGGAUCUGGUUCAAGUUUGGGUUCCACGAUCGUGUUAAUUGAUCUAGCAAGAGGAACAACAAUAGAGGAAUUCCCAACCUUGAAGUCUAAAUGACCUCGUUGUGGUUGUUCUUGUAGAAGUUUCAUGAUUGGUCUGCCAAUCAAGAGAGGAAUCUCUGGUAUGUCAAAAAUGUGAAAAUCUAGACAUAUUUCAGAGUCCUUGAUUCUAACAGGAACUGCCCUUAAUACCCCAUGGCUUUCUAGAAUUAAUCUAGAUGGACUUUGUGAAAGUUUUUGAGAUGGGGUUAUGGACUCGUUGGGAUAAAGAGUGUCAGCUAACUCCUUGAAAAUAACAUUUAUCUCAACAUAUGGAUUGUAGUGGACCUUCCUAGUGGACCCUCUAAUUUGGCACAAAAGAAUGGUUGAAGGAGUGAUGAUUCGAGCUACCUCAGGAGACAGCUCAGCUUCUGUUAGUCAUUCAUAACUCAGAAUAGCCGAAAGGCUUUUGAUGUGUUCUAUGUCAACAGAUUCUACUCUUAGAAUGGAUUGAGUGGUCCCUGCUAGAGGUCGUGUUUGGAUAGGAAAAUUCGAGGUGUUUCUAUAAUCUUCAAAAAGAUCUUCCUCGAAUUGAAAGGGAUGCUCUAAAGGUGGUGGUUCAUCAUCCCUUAGUUGGUUUUGCAUUCCUUUAUCAGGAGGUUUCUCUACAACCAAAUUAAUAGAUGGGUCAGGUGGAAUUUCUAACUCGGUUGCAAGUUCCUCAUCUUUUGGUUUAGGAUCAGGCUCGACUUCUUUUUCUUCUUCGGGAAACUCAUCAUAAAUGCCUGUGUAAGGGGUAUUUUCAAGAAUUCUUUCUAGGAUAGCUCUCCCCUCAUCUGUGAGUUUGUGUGUGAAUGAUCCUCCUGAAGCAAUGUCGAGGUGAAGAGCAGCUUCCUUAUUUAAAACACGAUAAAAGUGGUAGUACAAUACAUGGUUAGGCAGGGAAAGGUUUGGAACAGAAUUGGCAAGGCUUGUGAACCUAGCCCAAGCUGUUCCUAAAGUUUCCUUCUCUCUUUGUUUGAAUGUAAGAAUUUCGAUUCUAAGGUCAGUGAUUCGAAAAAGUGGGAAGAAAGCGGGACAAAAGUUGUCCCGAAGUUCAUCCCAACUUCCAUUAAUGUCUCCUACAGAAUGAGCAUACCACUUUUUUGCUCUUCCCAAAAGGGAGAAUGGAAAUAAUUUCCAUUUAAGGGUUUCUUGUGUCAUGUCGAAAAUAGAUCGGCAAGAGCACAACUGCUCGAAUUCUCUAAGGUGGGUGUAUGGAUCUUUAUCUACUUGCCCAGAGAAGGGUUGCUCCUGAAUCAUGGCUAUUAGAUCAGGGCUGAGAUCGUAGCCAUCUAUAAGAAUUGGAUGUCAUGAUGGUGGUGGCUCUAAUAACUCGCCCUUUGGAGCAAAGAAUUUAUAGAUAGGAGUGAAAUCCAUGUGGUGUGAUGAAAAUGGUAAGGUGAGUGUGGUAAAAAAGAAGAAAAGAAAAAGGAUACACGGACGACUUGGUUCGAAACUAGCAAAGCUACCGUUCUCGGGCAACAGAGCCAGAAAGCUUGUUAGGUAUUUUAAACGCAAACAGAAAAAUCCGCAAGCGCACGGAUACCGAUGUAGCUUUCACCCGGGAGUAUUCCAGAGUAUCGAUUUUCCACAGGGAACGUGAAUGUACUAGUUAAGAUUCAAGAUCGCCCAAGGAUAACUAUAUAAUUAUUUUUGGUGGGAAGAGAGGAAGUUUCCUGAGAGUUCUCUAGUUGAUCUAAGAAUCAAGAAUUACUUCAAAGAUUAUUUAUUUCGGGACGUCAGAACACUAACCACAGAAAGAGAUGAGAAGGGGGCUAGGAAGCUCUGACUACGGUCCUACAAACACACCGAUCCGAACGAGGUGGAAUACGUCGACCGUUAGGGCUGUCACUACCCUAGGGCUACCACAACAAUCCGCAGGAUUGGGUGUAAUUCCAGGUAAUUGCAAGACUAAACACCACGUCUAAUCUAUUAAUUACUACUCUAGCGUUGCAAAGACUAGAGCACUUGAUGCAAGUGGGAAUCUAAUAAAUAACUUGAAUGUAAAUAAAAGUAAUUAAAGAACUCAGGAAUUAUGAAUUGAAGAACUUGGAGAACGAUGAAGAACGAACCAGUUGCUGUAAAAGUACAAUGUUGAGGAAGAUCCGACAGAUCCGGCUCCUCCUCCGCUGCUCUCCUCUUCUCUCUCCCUAUUUUCUAGAUUACAACUAGAACUAACUAGAACUAGAUCUAAAUGAACUAGAACUAGAACUAGAUGAACUAGAGGGAUCCUCUCUACUUGGAUGAAUAAUUGAAACCCUAGCUUUGAUUCUAUAGAAGAGGUAUGUUCUCCAGGGGCCAAGGGGUCUGCUUUCAUAGUCCUUCCAAGUGAAUAUGGGCCGUCGGAUCAAACCAACAUUAAUCGGAUGGUUUUCCUUGAUCCCUUAGGUCGGUGGAGCAUGAUCCACCAAGUUGACCCUGAUUGGGCACUACAGGAGGGCGGGCGCCCUGGGCCAGGCCCCGUUCUGCCUCCGCUUGGUUCCCGUGGCUUCUGGAGUCUUCUAGAUGAUAGAAAAUUAACACGCACGUUAAUAUCUCUAUGUAAACCCGACGUGUGGGCCUUUCCUCCAUAUUUCCUGAUAACCCCCUGCAGAAAUAGACAAACACCAAAACUCGUAGAAUUCUGUCAGAUAAAAACCCUAAGUCUGGGGGUUGGUUGCAUUUGGAUCCUUUUCCAUGAUUAGUUGAUGGUUAAAUGUGAGCAUUAAGGACCGUCAACAAAGAUACGGAUGGAGUCAUACCUUGAGGCAUGCAACACUAAGUGCCUAAAAGCCACGACCGAAGGGUUUACCCCUCUGGCAAAAGACGUAAUUCUUACUCCACAAGAACAAGAAAAUGAGAAGUGGAAUGCAAAGGCCAAAAACCACAUCUUUAGAGGUCUUUGCAAAGAGGUGUUCAACCGCGUUCGGAACCACAAAACUGCCCAUGCUAUAUGGAAGGAACUUUGUACGCUCCAUGAGGGAUCAAAGAGUGAACGUGAGGAACGCAUUCAUCUUGUGAUGAACAAGCUUAAUAUAUUUGAGAUGCUUCCUAAAGAAAAUGCUAAUGAAAUGUAUUCUCACUUGAAUGUCAUUGUAGAGGAGCUAAAUGGACUUGGGCUCAAUCAAAUGAGUGUGGCGGAUGUUGCAAGAAAGAUACUAUGUGUUCUCCCCAUUGAGAAAUAUGGGCACAUAGUAACCGUGCUUCAUCAAGGCGAUCUCUCCACCGCUACACCCAUGUCCGUAUUGGGGAAGAUUAAUGCUCAUGAAAUGUACAUGCACAUGAACCCCCAAGAUGACUCAUCGGCCAAGAAGGAAAAUAAGGACUUGGCCCUCAAAGCUUCUCACAAGGGUAAAGCCAAGAAGAUUGAAGUUAGUCAUCAACUUCAAGUGAUGAUGAUGCAUCCAUUGCCCUCUUGGUGAGAAGAACCACCAAGAUGUUGAAGAAGCUCAACAAAAAUGGAGUCAACUUUGACUCCAAGAAGAAGAAGUUCUUCACAAGUAGCAAGAGAAAGCCCAUCUCUGAGAUGGAUUGCUACAAUUGUGGUGAUCUUGGUCAUCUUGCUCACCGAUGUCCAAAGCCCAAGAAGAACAAAUACAAGAAGAAGAACAAAGAGCAAGAUGACUCAAGUGAUGAAGAGAAGAACGACAAGAAGCAAUACAAGAAGAAAGGUGGCAAGAAGAAGGAGUACCACAAGAAGAAGAAUGGAAAGACUUACAUUGUUGAUGAUUGGCUCACCGACAAUGAAAGCACAAGUGGUUACUCCUCUGGCAAUGAAAGUGAUGAUGAAAAGGUUGCCGCCAUUGCCAUUGAUGCUUCAUCACCAUCAUCUUCACCACCAUCUACAUCCUCUGCACUCCUAUGCCUCAUGGCUAAGGGUGACCGGAAGGUACAAAGUGAGGAUGGGAGUAGUGAGAGUGAUAGUGAAUAUGAAUCACCAUCUUAUGAUGAACUUGUUGUUGACACCGUUUUUGGACACGUACCCAGGAUCGGUAGAAUGUGGAUCGGCAAGAAAGGGUGACAGUAACUGGUAUGCAGGAGAGUUGCCGAUGAGGGUAGGUGCCGAUGAGAAGACAGGUGAAUGUGGCUAAGUCCAUGGGUAGUGAUGUGUUUAUGCCGAUGGCCGGUAUUAACCGUUGCCGUUGGGGAGUCUACCGAUGACACGGAAGGAAGACUUGAAGGUUGCCAAUUGGUCCGUGGAGGUGUCCCAGUUUGUCACAGAAGGAUAGUUUUAUGUUUUCUUAGUUAUUUAAAUCGUUUUGUACACGGGUUCUGUUUAAAUUUGGAAUUCGAGUUCUAGCCAUGUCUGGUUGUAGCUCUUUGAGCAGGGUAUAAAUGUAGACUCUAGGGCCUUGUAAUCGAGACAUCAAUCAAUCAAUCAAACACAAGUUUUUACUCAUAUUUCAGCAUCUACUUUUUUGACGACUUCGUCAUAUUUUCUUUUCAUUACGAGUUCUUAGGAGUUCGUCGACUUAAGCUCGGCGUAUUCUCAAGUUCCGCAUGAAUACCUCUUGGCCAUGGCAUCCGGGCGCAUCGCUGUUGUCGGGACCAAAGUAUUCGAGUUAUCACCUUUGCCGAUAGUAAGGUCAAAUCGGCUGGCACGCCGUAACGUUUGAGAUCGGGUACUAGCCCUUUGUGUUUGCAGAUCUAGCUUUUGCAUCAACACAUCUUUUGGCACGCUCGGUGGGACAAGAUUCAAGAUAGAGAUCAACAUGUCGACUACUGAGUUUGAUCAGGAGAAUGUCAUCCCUGUGACGGAAGCGAAUCUCAAGGAUGAGCAGAAGCAAACUAUUGCGAAAGCCAUGGAGGAUUACAAGCAGCAAUGUUUUAGAUCCUUCAGUAUCAACAGGAGCGGCGAAGUGAUCCAGAAGGAAGCACUGCCCAUGCCUCGGCAGGUUACCUUUGAUGCCAAUCCUGGUAAACUUCAAGACAUGGUUGAUAAUGCUACUAACCGUGCUUUGAUCAAUCAAGCUGGUGUGCUGUCCAAUACGGUUUUCAAUGCCGUGGCUAGAACUUUUAAGGAAGGGCAAUUGCCACCAAAUUAUGUGGGCCCUUCUCAUCAUCAGCCACGAUCACUGGUGGUCACAGCUCCAUCGGCUGCUACAGCCGCUGUGGGCACAGAAACUGUUGUUCCUCCAAGCACGUUAGGAGUCACUAAUGCACAAUAUACGCCGAUGACGACUAAUCCACCGACUUCAGAUGAGCAGAUUAAGCUUACUACAGAUCUAUUGGCAUCAGCAAUGUCAGGGUCAGCCCCUCCUCCUAACUGGUGGGGUUUCGGUAUGCCUCCGGAGUACUUGUUGAAGA
This 52193-nucleotide long non-coding RNA is filed under the name Sorghum bicolor (sorghum). RNAcentral describes it as "long non-coding RNA (SBIC_LNC008177)". The record is from RNAcentral. Lineage: Eukaryota; Viridiplantae; Streptophyta; Magnoliopsida; Poales; Poaceae.